Molecule: long non-coding RNA, 57128 nt
Filed under: Coffea arabica (coffee)
Lineage: Eukaryota; Viridiplantae; Streptophyta; Magnoliopsida; Gentianales; Rubiaceae
Description: long non-coding RNA (CARA_LNC008293)
Rfam family: tRNA (bases 27464-27535)
Source: RNAcentral
UUUUUUUUUUUUUUUUUUGGGCUUGAAGUUUGGAAUCUGCUCAUAUUAUAUUGUUAGAUUGAUUGUGAAGUUUUGUAAAAAAAAAAAAAAAUACAUAAUACAUAUAGUGAUAAAUUUAAAUUAGUCAUUUUAAUGUGUAAUAGAAUGAUUAAUUGGUUUUAGAAUAUAAGAGAAAAUCUAGUAAAGUUAAUUCACAAGCAAGGAGAUGAAAUUAGAGAGGGGUAAUAUGGUGUAAUCAAAAUAAAAAUGAAAUAGUGGGAGAGCAAAUAAUAUUAACCUUAUAAAUAUUGUAAUAUUAUAGGGAGAUAAAUUGAUGCAAUUUAACUUUAGAGGUGCGAGAUGAGAAAAAUAGAGAGUAUUUUUCGAGGAGACUUAAUGGAAUAAACCCUUUGAACACUAUAGUAGCAUUGAUAUGUGAUUCACACGUACCAAUCUAGAGUUUAUCUUUUAGCACCAAGUAGACAAGAAUGGCUCGUCUUUCCAUUUUUAAUAUCCUUGGUACUACCAUGUUAUCCCACCAGACAAUCGAAAGAAUCUCGAGAACCCAACAGAUAAAAUUACAAGAGUGAUUACACGCACUCGUGAGAGGUCUCAAGUGUUGAUUUUUUAACAAUAAUUUUAAAAAGUGUUCAAAUGCAGGGGUCCAAUAAAGCAAUAAAUAUGUGUAUUCACAUAAUAAACUAUACAUAAUUCAAACGUGCUAACCAAUAUCCUUGGAGUGUUUGUCAAAAAACACAAAAAUCUAAUAUCCGUACUAUAACGAGGAGAGAGCUUUUGGUGUAGAUAAAUUCCGUGUUUUAUGCUCUUUCCAAAUUAUUCCUGAUAACUAUCCACUACCAAAUUCUAACACAUAUUUCUUAUUAUUCUAUUUCUCAACCUAUUUAAUAAAUCAUAAUUUUUAUUAGUAACUAUCAGCUGUGGUUAUGAUUUACCACUAAAAUUUAUUUAUAUAUAUAUUUUUUAUUUUGAUGAAUUUUUUAUAUAUCUAUUAUCAAAUAUAAAACCAAUUAUCCCAAAUAAUUUCAACAAAUAUAGUAAAAUUAUUUUAUAAAUAUAUUUUCUAUUAAUUACAUAUAUAUAUAUAUAUAUAUAUAUAUAUUUGUGUGUCUUGAAUACUAGUAAUUAAUAAUAGUGCAUCAUCUAGCACAUAAAGGCCAUGCAUAUUUUUCUCAUAUGCUCAUAGUGUUUGGGUUGGAGUUCUUCACCAAAAAAUUGUUACAUUGUUUAUGAGCACAGUUUUCAAUCAUAUUUCUACCUUACAUAUAAUAAAUUAUUAUAGUAUAUUUUUUUUUAUAAAAAUAUCCAAAAAUAACAAUCUAAACAGGACAUAAAACUUUCAAGAUGGUUCAUUUUCCCAUUUCUAAAUUACACACUGCGCAUCAUCAUUGACCCUAUAAGAUUACGGUCAUAUAACUUGAUUCGCUUUACCCACUUUCUUCACAAAACUCACAAUAUAUUGCCAUAAUUGUUUUAUAAAAACAUAACCCCGAAAUAUAAAAAAUACACACUUAUUUUCCUCUUUCAUCACCACCCUCCCUUACCAUAUCACUUAUUCCUACCAUCAUCGCCCUAUCUCUUGCACCACCAUUUCUUCCCCACUUUCGCCAUCACUACCUCUCAUUCUUUCCUUUCACCAUUUUUUGGUCUCACCUAAAUUCAAGGAGGGGUGGGUAAGGGAUGGGAAAAGAUAUGAGAAAGGCGGUGAUGAGGAAAGAGAGAGGAAGAGAAGGUGAAGGAAAUGGAGAAGCAAGAGAGAGAGGCGUGGCAGGGAAUGGGAAGGAAGUGGUAAGAAAAGAGGAGGAUCAAGACAAGGGAAGUGAUGAGAGUAAAUGGGAGAAUUAGAACUGUACACGAAUCGAGCCACUCGCAAUUGAAUACGAGCUUGACUCGAGCUCGGUCAAUAUCGAUCUCGAUUCGAGCUUGAACUAAAAAACAUUAAGCUCGUUGAUUCGCGAGUGGCUUGCGAGCUCGAUUAUAUAUAUAAUUUUAAUAGUAAAAUUACAUAUAUAUUCCUAAUAUUUAUUAUUUGUUAAGAAAAUUAUUAUUUUAUUCAUUUUAAAAAAUAAAAUAAUAAUUUUUUAUUUUUAAAAAUAAAAUAAUAAUUAUUUUUUAAUUUUUUAAGCUCAAACUCGAAGUUUUGACAUUUUGAGCUCGUCAAGCUCGUGCUUGAGUUAGAGUUUCUUAAAAUUAAUUAGAAAUUCGACUUGAUUUGAGCAAAACUCGACUCAUUUGUACCCUUAGAGAGAAUGGUGGCAAGCGAUAGUGGUAGGGACGACAAUAAUAGUGGUGUAGGGAUAGGUGGUGCGAUACGUGGCACAUAGAGAUGACAGAUUUUAUAAUUAUCCUCAAGAUAGUUUAAAUACACUAAAGGUUUUUUUUAAUAAACAUUUUACAUUAAGCUACAGUUGCAAUAAAAAUUUUAGGACCCGUUUGAUAAUCCAAUUCGGAUGUUAAAUUUAAUAAACUAGAUAUUAACAUAUGCAAACUUAUUUGAUAAUUAGAAAUUGAACAAUUGAAUUAAUUAAGUGACGCUAACUUUCUUAGGCAAAACUAGCUCUAAAAAUAAGUGAUAAAUUAUUCACUUAUCAUUUAAUAUGAUAUACGCUCAAAUGGAGGAGGGGCAUGAAUGGUUCCUAAAGGUUCAUGGCCAAGAUUUAGCCAAAAAAAAAAAAGGUCUAAAUUGCAUCUUAUAUUUUAGUUUUUCACACCAUGUAUGGAACUCAUAAAAUUUUGUUCUAUAAUUACACAUUGUUGAAAAUGAGUUACACCAUAUACAUACAAAAAUUACAUCUUAUACAUUUUGUACAAAAUCGGUUCGAACGAUUUUCUGACAAACUGUACCGAUCCCUUGUCCAUGCUCAAACAUAUCAAUUUUAUAUAUUUAACAAUUUAAUAAAUUUAGAUUUCAUAUUUCAUUUUUAUCAAACACACUAUUAGACAUACAUAAAAAAAAUCAUACCACUCAAACCAACCUCUUAUUUCUCAAUUACGGUACGUUGUUUUUGUUACUUGCUAUAGAUAUAAAAGGAGUGGAGAUUUAUUCUAGUAGUUGAUUGUGUAUGUUCUUUGGACUUCCAAGGGGGAAAUUAAUUGCGCGUCUUGACGGACCUCGUCAAUAGUCAAAUGGGAGGUAAUCUAGUGCUUUGGAAGUUGGAAAAUCUGAAGUAGAACCGUUGUUUUGUCAGCAGUAGUAAUUGUUAUUGCCGUUCUGACUUGUGACAUGCGACCAUGAAAGUUGAAACAGCCAUCGCUAAUGACAAGGAACCCGAGACCAAAAUUGCAGCGGCACCUCGUACGCUCCCAAUUAAUCCUUCUAUUUCUUUUAGGUAGGUGGUCCAUCAUUAGUACAGAUUGGUGUUAAUUAAUCCUUUUUGGAUCAUUAAGGAGAUCACAUACAUACUCCAUAGUAAUUAACACAAUAAAGGAGCAUACGUUCAAAACCGUGUAAUUUGUCCAUAAGUUGUUCCAAACAAUUAACGUGAAUUAAAUAUUUUAUUCUUGAACCCCAAUUAAUUCUCUUUAAUUAAGAGCUGCUCGUUUUAUCCGAUUCAGCCAAAUGCACCAAAAGCGCAAUGAUAAUGACCGACUAUUUUUAGUUUCUUGCACAUCAUCUCCAUGUAUUUCAAGCCAAAUGGCAAAACAUAUAUGGUAGGCACAACUAAAUUUGGGAGGGUGCAAGAGCUCAAGAAGGCAAUAGUAUUUGAAUAUCAUGAUUGUCCAAUACGCUUUGGGGUGAUCGGUAUUUAAUGGAUAUUCGUCUUAAUAGAGAUCUCAGGUGUUAGUUUCUUUAACAAAUUAUGGUCAAUUUGAAUCCAAAAAAAAAAAAAUCUAAAUAGAGUUGUACAAAUAUUAUGAUUGUGUUUAUUCACUUGGGCGUAAUUUAAAUGUGUUAAUGAAUGAUUAUUGAGCAACAAGUUAGAAAAAUAGUACUCCCUCCGUUUCAAUUAUUUAGUCAUGUUUCGGGAAUCUAAAACUUUUUUAAAAUAGUGGUUUGACUGUGAUGUUUGUGUUUCUCUUUCUAAUUUUACUCCCACAAAUUCAAAAUUUAAAAGUGAAUGAUAACAUGUAUAUAUGAUUGCAAAAGAGUGACUAUAUUAGAAAGAGAGACGAAAAGGCAAUUUGACUUUUUUAACGUAACAAAUGUUUUGAAAUAUUUUAAAAUGAAAAAUAUGACACUUUUAAUGGGAUAACGGUAGUAUAUAAUAUCAUGGGAUCGGGGCCUUGUGUCUUCUGUGGCUAUUAGCUUUGGAUGCUGAUAUUUAUUUAUUCUAUCUGUGUCGGAUAAUUAUUUUUCCUAAAGGAAUGAUCAAAUUAAAAUACCAAAUUGGUCACCUUUGGGCUUUAAUUUGUCAUCUAUCUUGUUUUAGGAUAAUAAAAAAUAUAGUUAUUCGGUGACAACUUUAGGUUCAUAAUUGUUACAGGAUUUAAAUUAGUUCGGAGUGAAAUGUAGCAACAAGUUGAGAGGAUUAAGUAUAUAAAUGCAGAGACACAAAUAUCCCAUUAUGGUAAAAGAUUAAUUUUUGGAAAAUCAAAUUUAAGCUGCAACGCUAAUUGUUAUCGACUGGUGCUGCCACCUGUCCCUCAAUUCAAACCAAUCCUAUCUGAAUCUCUUUUUCCAUAUUCUCUUUCUUUUACCUGACAGUCUGAUACUGAUAGGAUUUACUUUUUUACUAUUUCUAUGUGGAUAUGAAUUUAAUUAAUUCUCCUUCUCAUCUCCGGAACGGAACUGCCCCGCAAUUUCUACUCCUUUAUUUCCCUUUUUCUUUUAAAUUUAGGAAUUCAAAAGAUCUCCUCGAUCAACACUUUUACCCUCCACUCUCCUCUUUCUCUUCUCCGUCUCUCUUGUAAGGAGAAUGAAUGUUUUCUUCUCUCUUUCCUCCCCAUCUUUAAAACACCAUUAGAGACAGAGGAAAGAGAGAGACAUCCCCAUACACAGGAAAGAGAGAAAGAAGGAAGGAAACAAACAAAGGCAAUAACGUCAACCUCAACGCAUAUAUUCCCAGAACAUGUUGUUAUAUAUGUAGCUUUCUUGACAGACCCAAACCCAGACGCAGACCCAAUAUCCAUCCAUUCAAGGCCUGUAAUUAAUUGGCGUCUCCAAGUUAUCAUUGCAAAUUUCAGAAAGCGCGUACAUGCACUUCCCUUCCCCACCCACCCACCGUCCAAAUUUCAGACCGUCCCGUUAUGGGCAAUUGCAAUUUCCAUCCGUGUUUUGUAAUUGAAGCCUAGAUUUGAUCAGGGGUUUUCUCUGUAUAUCAGUGGAUUUCCUCCCACGGAGAGAAAAGCGGACAAAGAGGGGAAAGGCUGAUCCUGGACCCGGCCUUUUCUUUCUUUUUUUUUUUUGGAGUGGUGUACUGAUAUUCCCUUAAAUUAAGGAGCCUAUGAUGUCUGAUGGGUAUAAGAAAAGUGACGAUAUUUGUGAAGACGUUUGCGGUAGCCAGGUUUGUUGUUUUCUUCGUUAACUAAUUUUCUGUCUAGUUAUAUGUUUCUUCACUAAUCACCGUUAAAAAGAAGUUGAAGACUUCGUGUUUGUUUCUGUGGGUAUGCAAAUGAUUUUUCUUGGAUUUUUUUUUCCAUUUUGUGGGAUUAUUUGGGAUGUUCUUCAACAUAUAUCCAUGCAUAUAACAGGAUAAAUUCUCGUUAUUACUGUUUUUUUUUUUUUUUUGAAUUUGGUAAAACCAGCAAUAUCUGUUAUUCUUCUUGCACACGUCCUCUCUUUUCCCCUGCUUCACUUCCAUUUUCCUUGAUCAUAUGCUCGAGUGGUGAACGUGUUGUGUUUAUUUAUUUUGUUUGCCCAUUUGUAUCGCUUACUUAGUGAAGUAGCAACUAGUCAAUUGAACAUUGGAGGAGGAUAUUAUUGGUUCUGGAUGUUUUGUAUGUUACAGUUAUGUGUAGCUUUUAGGAAUUUCACAAUACACAUAUUGGUGUACCGUAUGGCAUCAAUGACCAGUGCUGCUUCUUUGGCUUGAUUCUUCAAUAACUGAGCAUCUUAGAAAGUUGUUAUUUUGAAUUUGCUGCAGACCUCAAACUCACCGUUGAGCAUGUCAAGACUGCGCUGUUUCUGUCAAGGGCUAGAUGUCAAGACGCUGAUCGUUUUGUUUUUGUUUGUGCCAACAUGCAUAGUUGGUGCUUACUUUCAUGGGCAGAAGGUGACCUACUUUCUGCGGCCAUUAUGGCAAUCUCCUCCUAAGCCAUUUAUUGAGAUGACUCACUAUUACCAUGAGAACAUCACGAUGGAGAAUCUUUGCAAGCUUCACGGUUGGGGAGUACGUGAAUUUCCCAGACGUGUCUAUGAUGCUGUAUUGUUUAAUAAUGAAGUAGACAUGCUUACAAUCCGCUGGAAAGAGUUGUAUCCUUAUGUGACACAGUAUGUUCUUCUUGAAUCAAAUUCGACGUUUACUGCUUUACCGAAGCCCUACUUUUUUGCGCUGAGUCGGGACAAGUUUAAAUUCGUUGAGCAGAGGUUGACAUAUGGAACAAUUGGGGAAGAUUUCGAAGAGGCGAAAACCCAUUUAUUGAAGAGGCAUAUCAGAGGGUGGCACUUGACCAGCUUCUCCAAAUAGCUGGAAUUGAGGAUGAUGAUUUGCUGAUAAUGUCUGACGUUGAUGAAAUUCCGAGCAGGCACACGAUUAAUCUCUUAAGAUGGUGUGAUGACAUCCCUCAGAUUCUUCACCUUCAGCUGAGGAACUACUUGUACUCGUUUGAGUUCUACUUCGACUCCAAAAGCUGGAGAGCUUCAGUACAUAGGUACCGGAGGGGGAAAACUAGGUAUGCACACUAUCGUCAGACUGACUAUCUCUUAUCGGAUGCAGGGUGGCAUUGUAGCUUUUGUUUCCGCCAUAUCAGUGAUUUUAUAUUCAAGAUGAAAGCCUACAGCCAUAAUGAUCGAGUGAGGUUCUCUCAUUAUUUGGACCCAAGAGGAUUCAAGAUAUUAUCUGCCGAGGAGCUGAUUUAUAUGACAUGCUUCCAGAGGAGUACACAUUCAAGGAUAUCAUUAGGAGGUUGGGACCGAUUCCUCAUUCUUAUUCAGGAGUUCAUCUUCCUGCUCAUUUAUUGGACAAUGCUGACAAGUACAAAUACCUUUUACCUGGGAACUGUAGAAGAGAAGGCUGACAUGGCUGGAGUAAGAGAGUGAGGUGCUUAGGUUAUCAACAGAGAGGCAGAACAUGUCCUGCACCAUGAUAGGUAUGCAGUGUAACUGAUGGUGAUGACAUAUACAGUUUUCGGAUAUGGCCACAUGCCUUGAUGGUUUCAACAAGAUUUAGGUCAUUAUGUCUGAGUAAAGCAGGGAAGAAUGGAUGGCUUGCUGGUUUACUGGGUAAACUUUGUCUGUAUUGCUGCAUUGUUUACCAAGUUGGGAGAAUGAUUAGGGCGUAAUGACGUGAGAGUUGUGGACAAACUCUGCUUCACUGUUGCUGCAUAACCCUGAAGAUGCUGUAGAGUUACAUGGCAUUUCUCAGGAUUUUCUUUGUGUAGGAACUUUGUUUUGCCUUUUGUUCUUCUUUUUUUUUUUUUGACACUAAUUUACACAAUCAUCUGACUGAGCAAAGAUUCCAUUAGCUGUAGAGCUGACUUUAUUCCACCCGAGGCAUUUAUGCAUUGUUCGUGUACGUUCCUUUCCAUCUUGGAUUCUGCUUACCUUUCUUCGGUUUACCCUCGUAAUUUUCUUGCAGAGACCACUUAUUUUGAAUUUUGUGAACUGUUGAGACUUGAGUGAAAUUUUCAGUAUUGCUGGUGACUGAAUCUAGAGCAAGUUUGACAAAACUUUAAGGAUCAAGGAACAAUUCCUAGGCUUUGUAAGACGGUUGUUGCAGUAGACCAAAAAUUUACGACUAGCAUGUGAUGUGAUGUGGUUUCGGCUUCUUUGCACUUUGAUCUGACUACAAAUGUGCUCUGAAUUCAAGUUGGUUCUUUUUCCAAGUGCGUAUUCCGAAUUGAACCACCACCACCAUAAUUAUUCGAUUAUGGCCACCGGGGUGGUGGUUUGUCAGGUUUCGACUGGAAUGUCACGUGUCCCCCUGUGGUGAACCCCGUUGUUAUUUGGAUAGGAAGAGGGUAGUCAACAACUUCUUCUUAUUGGAGCAUACGACCUUUACUUUACAACUGCAAACUGGACCCAUCUUUUUAUCUUGUGCAAAAGGAUUCACUCUCUACGCCAACAUAAAUACCACCGUCUAUUAAUUAAAGAUGAUACCUUGCAUCUUGCUGCGAUGCUUCCAGGAAGGAGUGGUGAAAUUUCUACCGCCCCUUCCGUUCUUAGCCGACACACAGUUGCAUGCAUGGUUUUUCCAAAGGACAGACCAAAACUAGGUUAGUUCACACUUUGGGCUUCAAACGCUUUUAAGGAAACAUUACAUUUGUUGUCUGUCUGACCAGAAGUUGGAAUUUUGACUUCAAAGUCACCUUUCCCGGUUCCAGAAAGAUUUGGGAUUCCGGGACCAAUUCCAAGUUCAGUGUCCGGUUAAAUAAAAGAAAUUUCCAGAUAAUCAAGAACAAUAAUAUAUUGGUUGUUAAGUUGAACAACUUUAGGGCUCUGUGCAAAUGCAUCUCUUAUUAAAAAUUGCUCGCACGGUAGUAUUUGUAUUUCUAAUCCACGUUUGGCUCUAUCUUAUGGUACAUUAAGGGCCGUUUGGAGUUGCGGUGAUUCAUUAAAAAGUACUUUUUCAAUAAAGCUUUUAAUAAAAGUACUUAUUAACUAUUUAAAUGCUUUUAAAUAUAUUUUUGAAAACGCAUUUCAAUAAGUGCUUUUUGCAUCGAAUAAUGUGUAAUUUAGAAAUUUUUAAAAGUAUUUAUCUCUUUAUUUGGCUCAUAAUCUAAGAUAAAAUGAUUAAAUUUGAUGUUUCUUUUUUUUUAUUAUUAUUAUAAAUUAUGAAAGCUAUUUUAAAAACACCAAAUUUGAGUUUUUGCUAAAAAUACUUUUAACAUAAAAAACUCGACUCCUAAUUUUAUGGAAUGAUAUUCACUAAACACUUUAAAAGUACUUUUUUAACAAAAGCACCGCAACCCCAAACAGAGCCUCAGGAACUUAGAUAAACGGUUUGUCAUACAUUUGUCUGCUCUUGUUUAAAGAGCUAGCGUUUUCAGUUUUGUCCACCUUUAAUAGAAACUCUCUCACCUCCCCAACGGGGUUCUCAAUUGGCUUCCCAACAACUAGCUCCAAAGGCACCAUUCACGACCCAUCGAGGAUCAAAACUAAGCACACUUUUCGUUGAACAAACAACAUUCAUAACUUUUUAUUUUUUUUUGGAGCACAUUCAUAACAACUUAAUCAAGCCAUUUCGGAAAAGUUACCAGACUUUACAAACGGUGCUGAAUUUUCCACCAUAAAUUUACCUACCAAAGUGCAUUUCUACCAAGAAGUUCAGGAGGACUAUGUGCCAAAAAAACAGCUAAGACUUUAGGCAAUACUCAUUACCCUCUCCUUCUAGAUAACCUUUUCGAAAUUCAUCCAUGCAUGGAUGCAUCCCAGAACUAAACGUGUUAUAUGCUAUUGAAUUUGCACUAGCUAUUAAAGAGUUCAAGAAGUUGAGUUUGGCAGCCUCACCAAUCCCCAGUUCUCCACUUGUACUUGUCUCAAAAGAGUUGAGUCUUUGACUACUAUUCUGUCUCCAUUCCCUCAUUUCAUUAUUACUUGCCGUUUAUACGUACCUAAAAAACCUUUACCAUAACUGCAAACAUCCUCAUCUCAAAACUCGAAUCACAAUGUUUUCAUAUAGGAUAGACGAAAGAGCGACAACAUGACAGGCAAUAAAGCAUUGUUUUCUCAAAGUAGAUAAUACAGUAGGCUGGAGUGGAUGCUGAAACUGACAGAAAAUUCACCGUGUCAACAUUUAUUAUUGCUCGAAUGGGACACUGUCCAUGCCAUGUUUCCCAGAAAAAUACCCUCCAACUCCAAUUUUGCAUGCCAGGGAAAAAAAUGCCAAGCAGAUAUCACACCUCCAGUUUGUCUUUUGAGUAGUUCAGAUUGUGGUUUCCAACUGCAAGCCCUUGAAAAUGCAUCAAGGUUUCAGAGCAAGUCCAGUUAUCUGUAUAGACAGAACCUGGUCCGCAUAAACAGAACCAAGUACUCCUCAAAACAUCCGUAGUAGCAAAUAUGUCCGCAACCCAAGAAACACAAACAGGCUGCUGAACAAUUGGAAAAGAUUGGACACUGACCAUCCUACCAAAUAAUUGAACACCAUUGCGCACAGCGUACAUUCUUAAAUAGUCUAUAGGCUAGCAUGUUUGGUUCGUUUUAGCCCAUCUCAACAAAAACUAGAGAGAACUUCCAGUUGCUCUCACAGGACAAGAACCCUCUGAAAUAUUUUGCUCCAGUCUUUCUGUUUGCUUUACAAUUAACAUCCAUGGAGUGAUCUAGCUGUCAUAUUUACCCUAUUACCUGCUCUUGCCCCAGAGGUGCAUCUCCAGUAUUGGUUGGUUACUCUUAACAUGUUACAAUCAAGUUGCAUCCUAACUUAACUAAUCACUAUCCCAAGUUUCAUCUAACUCUUUAAAGUUUUUGAUAUUUCUGCAUGCCAUUAUUCUUCUGGUUAUCCUUCUUCAGCUCAUAAUUUUCCUCAUUGUAAAUGUAUCCUUACAAUUCUCCGAUGUUCCUGGGACAAGGUUUUCUUCAGCAUCUGACUCACUAAACAUAUGAGAAAUCGCAGCAUUAGGUCUUCCCCAAUCUCCCCAGAAUUGCCUCUCAAGGCUUUAUUGUCCUUCAUACUCCCUGCCCUUGAUACCCCAAAAUCCAGGUGAAUUGCUGCCAGAACUGUCAGCAUCAUUUGGAGGACUCUUUAUCCUACCAAUACCAUCUUUAUUACCUGUCCUCGUAUGAUCAUAGUCAUCCUCAUCUGGUACUGCUCUGGUAAUUGUAACCAGGAGCUCUAGAUUUCAUCACAUUCUGCCUUUCCCUAUCAUCUGAUUCGUACAUGACAUCUUCCAGAUCACUCAACAUACCAUCUGAAAUGGAAUCUUUGACAACCUUUUCUACACGUACUUAGAUUUCUCAUUUCUGCUGAAGCUUGUGCUUUUACUGCUUCUAAGAUCUUAUUGUUGCCUUCUUGCUACUUUGUGCCCAGAAAAUCGGUCACGAGCUUCACCAGAGUCACUACAAUCAGUCUCAUCAUUACUUACAUCCUGACUAUCAUUGGAAUCCCAUCCACCAUCAUCCUCAGACAUAUCUCCAUCGUCAUCAUCAGAAGCAGUGAUUCUUUCCCUGCCACGCGCACUACUCCAGUUCUGUGUCCUUCCUCUGAUAUUAUCAUCAGAUUCAUCACCUCCAAUCUUUUCAGAUCUUCUGAAUCUAUCACCUGAAUCUUCCUUGUUCCAGUAUCUGAUUUUUCCAAACUCUUCUUUCUCUGCAGCUUCCUCAGCAGCCCAUUCUUUAUCAGCUGCAUCCUCUAUCUCAGCUAUGAAUCUGUCAAGCUCCUCCUGGUCACUGUCUUCAGCAGAUUGUGAUUGUUGCAGAUCGCUAAUAGACACCAUCUCUGUCUUUUUGUCCCUCUGGAAGACGUAGGGGCUUCCUUCUUUCUUGUCAAUUGCAUUGAAGAAUGUUGAAGCUACUCUUUGGAUACUAGCCAUUGCAACAGGAUCAUCAGGAUUUACUCCCUUCCGGCGGAGCUCCUGCUCGAUUUUCUUAAUGUUUAGUUUCUGAGAUUCUAGUGCUUGUUCAAAUCUGGCUUUGAACAAUGCCUGCAAAACAAAGAUAACAAGUCAAAGAAUGAAUUAUUUAACAAAUCCACACUUCCAAUGUUCUAAAACGAAACUCCCCAGUUAAACCUUUCAUUUUCUACAAAUAUUUUCCAGCAGGCAAUUUUUGGCACCAUUUCCAGACAAUUUAAAUCCUUUAGAAAAGCUUGACUUGGUAGUAUACAUGUAAGUUCCAAUAAGUACAGACGCUUACAAGAAGGAUAUUAAAAAAAAAAAACUCUGAAGCAUAAGCUUGGAAGAAUAAAAUUGGAAAGGCAAACAACUUUAGAGUUAGUAAAUCACCUUGCAGGCAAUAAAAUGGCAUAAAACAGAGAAGAAAGCUACAUAACUGACCUUCCUCUUUGUAAGAGUGUUGAUAGGUAUCAAAUUCUUUGGUUGCCGAUAGUUUCUGCCACGAAACAUUAUGAUUGUUUUCACAUUAUGCACGUUAACCACAAUUCCCCCACUCAGUCUUGCCAGCAUGCUAGCCAUUUCCUUAAUCCUUUCCUUGGGGAAGUUAUCGCAACAAACCUGUACGGUCUCAUGAAACUUCCAAUGGAGGUGCAUAUUUUGUACAACUCCACCAAAGACUCCACGAACUCCAACAGGAACAUAAUUUCUAUUUCUGUAGCCAAUCUUCUUAUAUGCCUGCAGUUGCUCGGGAGUUAAUAGCUCAGGGUCAUGGCAUGGAGGUGGUAGCUCAGGAAGCUCAUAUUUUUUCAGCUUCUGCAGAAGCAAUGCCACCUUUUUCUUUGCCUACACUAGUUCAAAACAGACAUAUCUAACGUAAGACAAUAAGCUGGUAUGCCAUCACAGAAGAAAUGAGUUCUAAAGAUAUUUUUAUGCUAAUGCACAGCAAAAAAAUGAGAUGCCAUAUAUCAUCAGCAGCUGAUAACAGCUAAUACGCAUCAUGUAUUAGCUUAUUGGUUAUAUAUGACCAUCUCAUCAGCAAAGAGAGAAUUAAGUGUGGAGUGACACGAAAGAAGAUCCGUACUGUAACAUAAGACAGAACCACACAGACAGUACAAUUCAUCCCACUAACAAGAUCUGAGUAGCGAAGCAAAAGUAUCAAACUCCAUCCACAAAAUCCGCCACUAAUGAUUCCCAUAAACCAAAAGUAUCAAACACAAGACAACAGAGAUCGAAUACUAUAGAGGCAUAUGUGAAUGUAAAUCACAAGUGCGCAAAAAGAAAGCAUAGCAGAACCACUAAUGAACCAUGUUCUCUUAAUCAUGGAACUGAUCAAACGAAAAUUCUCAAUAUUUUGUCCUUCACAUAGAGCACACCUCAAGGUGCAUAGCCAUUAUUUUACUAAAUUCGUCAUCAGUAAUUUCUUUCACUUCUCAGGAAAUUCAUCCUGCACUUGGUCACUAAAGGAUAUAAUUCGACUAGUUGAAGGGAAAGAACAAAACUUGAUGCUUUGAAAAGGAUGGAGGUGAAGAAGAGAUAAUUGGAGUUAAAAAAGAAUAAAGAGGAGCAACGUACUCUUCUGAGAUUGUAAAUAAGGCGUUCCUCGUCAGUCAUCAAUUUCUUCCUCAACUUCUUAGCCCGCCGAAUCUCUCUCAAGGUUUUGCCCGAUUCCUUUCGCAUCCGCCUCUCCACUUUGCUCCUCAUACUCUUGGCUGACAAUCCCCGAGCCCCGUCGAAGCCAUUCCACACUCUCCUCAUUGAAACAAAACACACAUCUUUCACAGGAAAAACACUCCCCUCAAUCACGCCGCGCCGCCCCAUUUCGUCCAACCAUCUCCUUCACCCUUCACCGCAUUCCUUUAAAAAGUAAGAAAGAAAGAAAGAAAACUUUAGCAAGAAUUCAAAAAGCAAACGGAGAGAGACACACAUAGAACAGAAGGAGCAUUACUUGGAGGAAUUGAAGAAGAAGAGAGAAGAGAGGGCUCUGAGGGACUGUCUUUGAAGAUUUUUAGCAGCCAACAUUAUGGCCAAUAUAUGAUGAUCUAAAAGGCUGCCGUUAUGAUUUGAUCUUGUGUAUAUAUAUAUAUAUAUAUUUUCUCUAUUUAAAUCACCUAGCAAGUCGAAGAUGAAGAUUGCAUUUCCAAUGGAUUGGGAAUUUGGAGGAGGAUGCAACCACAGAUAUUUUUGCUUAUUGCUGCUGUGGGUUUUUUUAGGGGUUUUAGAAAAAUAUUAGACGUGGGCUCUCGCUCGACUCGUUUAAUUUAUGGGUUGAAGCUAACGACGUCGUUCGCUUAACUAAUGGGUUGCUCCAAAAUUGAAAAUUCAUGCGGGCGGAGGGAUGGAUCGGAUGUUCCUAUCCUUUCGCUUGUGGCUCCAAACGUAUAAUAAAAAUAUAAUAAACAGGGAAAAGUCUGAAGUAACGAGCGUUAUGAUAACGAAACUGUUUUUACCUGAUAUAACAGGUAAAAACACUUUUAGCGACCAUUUGAUUACCUGUUAUACUGGUCAUCUAAAUAAAAUAGUACCUAAAAAUAUGGUUAGUAAGUUUUACAUUAAAAAUAGUAAGUUAACUCAAGAAAUUAGUAACUUUUAUGUCUCAAAAAGUAAAUUUGAAGAAAUAUGGAACUUACUUUUUUUUUGAAGUAGAUAACUACUCUAUAUCUAAAACUUACUUUUUGGAGAGUAAGUUUAGUUCAAAUAAUAGUAAGUUUUUAUAGACUAAUAGUAAAUAUUGUUGAUAGAAUAGUAAAUUUGGGUUAAUCAUCAAAACUUACUAGUUUAUGGCAUAAAUUUACUAUUUUACUUAAAGAAACUUAUAUGGAACAAGUAUUAGGAAGUUUAUUUGAAAUAAUGCUAAGAUUUUUUAUUAAUAAUUGAAACUUAGUAUUAUAGUUAGUAAUUACUCGUAAUGUAAAUGUAUGAUACACAAUUGUACGUAUCAUUUAUAAAUGUUAUAUGUUUUAAGCAUUUUAAAUAAACUAUGAAAACUUUUUUUUUGCAUAUGACCUUAUAAAAUAUGUAAGAAUAAUUUGUCAUAUUAUAAAUUUUGAAUUAUUUUUGAAUUUGUAAAAGGUUAAAAAGUUUGGAUGACAGUAAAAAAAAAUCUUUUGAGUUAUAUAUAGAAUUGCACUUAUCUAUACAUCACAAUUUCCAUAUAUGGACACCGAUGAAUAUAAUAAAAUGGUACGCAAUUUUCAUAUAUUAAUGCCUAUGAAUUUAAUAAAAUGGUAAAAUCUUAAUAAAUUUAUUUUCUGGGUCACAAGUAUAAAAAUUAAAGUUGUAUUAACAUAGAAUAAUCUUUGAAAAUUAUAGUAAAAUUACCCAUAUGUUAAGUUUUGUGACUUUCAAACAUACUUUGUAUCAUUUACAUUAUGGAUUUGUAUCCAUAUGUUUUCUAUCAAACUCUUUUUUUAUUGGCAAAUGGUAAGUAAAUUAUUAUAAAAGGGCAUUUUAUAAUAAUCAUAAUUUUUAAUAGAUGAAUUUUAUGUAAACUGUUAAAAUUAUGAAUUCACAAACGACUAAAUCUGACUACUUUAUGACACAUAUUAGUCUAAAUGACUAAAAAAUUACUGUAAUCAUGUACACGUUGAUUGUUGAAUUGAAAUUUCUUUUAUUACUAGUACAAGUUCUUCUAAUCAAAGCAAAAUAAAAUCAAAUAUCUUUUCCUUUUGUAUGCAAUAGUUAUGCUUAAUAGAAAAUUAUUAAACCAUUUUUACAGUACAUAAUUUCUCCUAAAAUUUGUAACAUUUACCAUGACCUCUAACCUUGACAUUGUUAUUUAAUUUACCUUCUAAAUUUAAUUUAAUUUUCUUAUAUUAAUUGUUAUACUAAAUUUAUAAUUUUUGUUAUUAUAUUAUUUCUCAUUUUGUUUAGGCUUUUACUCUUAUUAUUUCUUGUGUCUCAGAUGUAAAUUUAUUAAAACUUUAUCAUCUUAUUAUAUUCAUAGGUGUUAAUUUAUAAAAAUUUUGAUAUAUAAACAAGUAAUAUUCUAUAUAUAACUAGGAAGAUUUGUUGUUAUUAUUAUCCAAACUUUCAAACUUUUCAAAAAUUGAAAAUAAUUAAAAACUUAUAAUACGACAAAAUUUUAUUACAUAUUUUACGAGAUUAUGUGAAAAGUCAAACUUUUUUCCAUAGUAUUUUAAAAUAUGUAAAUAAAUUUUUUUAAAUGUUAACUAUAAUCUUGUAUUAUACAGGUAUAUUAUGAGUACUUACUAACUAAGGUACUAAAAAUUAAUCAUUAAUAAAACAUCUUAUCGUUAUUUCAAAUAAAUUCCCUAACACUAGUUUGAAAUAUGUUUUAAAGUAAAAUAGUACAUGUGUCUCAUAAAUCAGUAAAUUUUGAUUAUUAAUCAAUUUUACCAUGUUAUCAGUAAGAAUUACUAUUUAUGUAUUAAAACUUACUAUUACAUGAAUUAAACUUACACUAUAAAAAGUAAGUUUGGGAUAUAAAGUAGUAAUUUAUUUAUUUAAAAAGUAAGUUUAAUAUUUAUUCCAAUUUACAUUUUGAAGUAUAAAAGUUACUAAUUUAUUACUGUUAACUUACUAUUUUAGAUGGAAAACUUACUUUCUUAUUUUUAAGUGUUAUCCUAUUUAGGUGGAUAGGCCUAUCAAAUAAUCAAAUGGCCGCUAAAAGUAAAUAAAAAAUAAAUCGAAAAUGGUCAUAUAAGUGUUAUCCUAUUUAUGUUUCAAAAAGUAAAUCGAAAUAAAAAUGAAAGUUACUUUUUUUAAAAAUUAAAUUACUACUCUACAUUCGAAACUUAGUUUUGUGGGGAGUAAGUUUAGUUCAAGUAAUAGUAAGUUUUUAUAGAUUAAUAGUAAAUCUUGUUGAAAGAAUAAUAAUUUGGUUAAUCAUCAAAACUUACUAGUUUGUGGCAUAAAUUUACUAUAUUACUUAAAGAAACUUAUAUGAAACAAGUAUUAAGAAGUUUAUUUAAACUAGUGCUAAGAUUUUUUUAUUAAUGGUUGAAACUUAAUAUUAUAGUUAGUAGUUGUUGGUAACAUAAAUGUAUAAUAAUGAUUGUAUGUUUCAUUCAUAAAUGUUUUGCGUUUUAAGCAUUUUAAUAAAUGUAUGCAUCAUUUAUAAAUGUUAUGUGUUUUAAUAAAUUUAUUUUCUAGGUCACAAGUAUAAAAGGUAAAGUGAUCGUAUCUAAUGUAGCGUAAUCUUUUAAAAUUAUAGUAAAUUUACCCAUAUAUUAAGUUUCGUGAGUUUCAAAUAUAUUUCGUAUCAUUCACAAUAUGGAUUUACAUGCACAUUUUUUAUGAAACUUGCUUUUAAUUGGCAAAUAGUAUGUAAAUUAUUAUAAAAUGUCAUUUUAUGAUAAUCAUAAUUUUUAUAGGUGAAUGGAAUAGGUGCAAGAUCUUGAUACUGUACUACAACACAAAUUUGGGGAUAAGUACAAGUUUCAGGCAUCGUCAUUUGAAUUUGACGAAUCUCCUAACAUUCCUAAACAACCGAAUGGGUAACUUUCAUUAAUGACGUUUUAAAGCCUAAAAAACCGUGUGCUGAGUAUUGUAUAACAUGAGUAUUUGAGUUGCUUUUCGAGUUCUGCUCAUCAAGUAAGCCAGUCCAAUUUGAAGUAAACAGCAAAAUCUACAUGCACAAGACAUUUGAUAUGAAAUUGGUAUUUCAAAAUAGGAGAAAACGGCUCAUUUUGAGCAUCAGAAUGAAUCUAACUUUUAAUAAUUGAUACUUACGCAUCAAAAUUAAGCUGGCAGGACACUAGAUAUAGCUAUCUAAGCAUGACAAGAUUACAUGGCCAAGAACUGAAUUUAGAGCACAAAGACUUUGGCUUCAGAAAUCUGAAGCAAUCAAAAGGCUAGUAACUUGAUUUGAGAAUUUGAUCACCAGCAUCAAGGGCUCUGAUAUCACUAUCAAAAGCUUCAGUUUGGAUUGACAUUUCUGGUUUACAAACCCAAGAGCACUUGGAUGCUAACAAUAUCUGAAAUUUGAUCACCAAACUUUUUUCCAAGCAAGCUGAAAUUAUUCACAUUAAAACAAGUAAACACCAGAAAUUGCAAACUAAGGAGAUUAUGUUCAGAUUUACAAUCAAAACGCAUUAAACUACCUUCGAAGAAACUUAAAUCAUCCUAAAAGCUUUGAGCAAAGACGUGCAAAAACAUUUGUACUCUCUCAAGAAUAAAAUUCCUUAAUGGUCUUGGCUGAAAUCUGGUUCAUUCACUACAAAACCAUCACAAGAUUUGUAUUAAAAAAAGGCCACAACAACACAUAAUCAUAGCAAAUAAAUAACAUAAAACUUAGGCGUGAAGAAGGAAAAAUGUACCUGAAUACUUUUCAUCUCCUAACAAGCUAGUGUUUUGUACAUGACUUUGGAUUAAUGAAGGAUUGCAUGCCCACAUUAAUGCCUAUACAAAUGCAAAUAGAGCACCAUUAUAUUUCAUGCCUUCACACAAAAAUAAAUAAAAGCAAGCUAUACAUUACCUGACCAGGAGGAAUGAUCUGAAACCAAUUACUAUCCAUUAAUUCCUUAUUGCAUCCAUGCUGUGAAUCUGAUUGCAAUAGGCCAUCGGAUGAUCCUAUCAGAUUCAAAUUUACAUUCUCAACAUUAUUGGGUGCCCCAACAUGAUCAUAAUUGUGAGUUUCAUAUGCAUCUGUGCACACUUUAGUACAUUUUCGUCUAUCAUGUCCAAAUGACCUGCGGGAAAAAAAUUGCCAAGCACAAUCCAUAAACAAUAAGAUUGAAUUUAUAAAGGCGUAUAUGAAGUGUACAUAUAUAACUAACAUUUUUGGCCUUCUAACAUAAAGCCAAUGAGUGGAUGAAAUUUAGCAUUGCUCAUUCAUAUCUGGUUUUGCAAAGCUAUUCUAACCGUAGAAUAAGUCAAUUUUAAGAGUAGGUGAUUACUUGCAAUUUUUGCAUCGUCUUCGCUUUCGCUUGUGAGUGGACUGUUUUGCCUUUUGUCCCUUUGUAGCAACAACAAUUGGACCAAGAGAAAGUAUGGACCAAAGUGGAAACCUUUGCCUGGGAAUUCAAUCGUAUCGUUGGAAUUGAGAACUAAAUAAGAAGAAGACAGAUGACUUUAAAGAGAUAGGUGAUACCCGAAAGUGUUUCAGGAACCCAAAACCGUUUUCAGCAACCCAAAAUCAUUUUUAGAAACCCGGUGAUUUUUUCACUUAAAUAUGUAAAUUUUUUACUUUUAGUAUUAGUAAGUUUAGUUUAAACAUAAGUAAAUUUUGUCAAAUAAUAAGUAAAUUAAAUUACUCAAAGUGUAAAUUUCUAUUUCUGACUAAAACUUAUCUUUCAGGCAUAUACUUACUAGUUUGAAUUAAAAACUUACUUAUCUUCUCGACUUGGCAACCCGUUUCUUUUCUAGGUAUUUUAUGAUUAGAACUCCAUUCUCUCUAUAUUACAAACCAUCAUCAAACUAAUUGAAAACCUCAAUUCUCAUAUAAACCAUUCAUCUGAAUUUUGUUCCAAUCAACCCAUUCAACAGAUUUAUGUUCCAGUCUAAUCGUUAUGAUAUAGCAAUGGCAUUAACAAGCUAUUUUGACUCUCCCGGUAAGGGUUUACGUAUUAGUAAUUUUUUAGGAGGAAGAUGAGUUAUUCACAUGUCCAAAAUAUCGAAACAACCAGCAUAAUCUAAUCCUUAGUUCAAUGAAAGUCACAAAUUUGCGGGUAGGUAGAUUAGAUUAUGUUGAAUGCCUUUGGCUCUUUACAAUGAAAUUCAAAAUUUUUUCUCAUGACAGAGCAAAGACGGUGAUAUAAUUGAUUGUGUCUAUAUGUAUCAACAACCAGCAUUUGACAAUCCUUUGCUCAAAGACCACUGGAUUCCGCAGGUUUGCCCCAUGCAACACCAUUCAAAAGAAAAAUAAACAAAAAAAUGCAAAAAUAUGAAGUAUGUAUAACACCAUAAUUGAUUGAUGGUCGGAAACUGUUCUAUGAAUUUUCUCUCCUUUCCUGACUGAAGAAGAGGGAAGAUGUGAUUCUACAAAAUCUACAUGUAUCAUAGGAUGGUAAUAAGAAUUGCUUCUGCAACACAGAUUUACAAGAGUAAUAAUGGCCAAAUUUCCGUGGCAUUGCAGACGUUACAAUGGAGUAAAAAAUUCAAGAGGCUGAUAAUAAAUUUCCAUAGAAACAACAGAUUCGCAACAAUGAUUCUAGAUCAGUUCAGUUCAAUAACAUAUGCUCCAUCAAGCGUAUCAACUUAGAAUUCCAAAACGGGAGAAACCUCUCUUGCCUGAAGAAUUCAAGUUAUAAAGCUCAUGUUGAGUUACUAAUAUAUUAGUAAUUCUCACCCGCACAGAGUAGCAAUCAACAUACAAAUUUCUCUUUGACAUUUCACCAAACAUCUUAUAUGCAUUCACAAAUUAAUCACAUUUAACUUAAACGCCUGGUCUCAAGUCCUUUCCUAGAUGUUUCACAUGGCUAUUAAACAUAUUUUACCCGUAGACAAUCAAAACUACAACCAUUUCCUAGAUGUUUCAACGGACAUUUUCGGCCCCAAAAUUGCAAUAAAAUCUUCAAAUUCUCAGCCUUGAUUUCCCAAAAAAAUCUUGACAAACAAAACAAAUGAAAUAUAAAUAAAUUACAGCAAUAUAAUCAAACGAUUUCAAGAGAACAUGAUGAUCUAACCUCGUCACUGCUAUUUUUCAUAUGCUCUUUGGCUGGCUACCACCGUCGCUAACCCUUUUGUUGUGUUUGCAUAUGGCAGCACUCAAACCCAACCGAACGAUGAGAAAGGAUAGAAGCAAAGUGUGAACUAAAGAUGAAAAUUUUGAAGUGAGAAGAUUUAUUCAAUUGUAACAAAGAGAAAGUGUGGAUCAAAGUGGAAACCUUUGCCUGGGAAUUCAAUCGUAUCAUUGGAACUGGGAACUGAAUAAGAAGAAGGUAGAUAACUUUAAAGAGAAAGGUGAUACCCAAAACCGUUUUCAGGAACCCAAAACCGUUUUUUUACUUAAAUAUGUACAUUUUUUACUUUCAGUAUUGGUAAGUUUAAUUUAAACAUAAGUAAAUUUUGUCAAAUAAUAAGUAAAUUAAAUUACUCAAAGUGUAAAUUUCUAUUUCUGACUAAAUCUUAUCUUUCAGGCAUAUACUUACUAGUUUUAAUUAAAAACUUACUAAAGUUAAUAUUAAUUAUUUUAAUAUAAUAUUUAAAAAGUCACUAAAAGAUUUGAUCUGUCACUAAAGGUAAUAGAAACCUAUAAUAGCAGAUUUCCCUAAUAUUGUUACCAUAACUAUAGGCACUGUAGCACUGUCCAAUAAACAGAUAACAGUGUAGUAGUUCCUCAAGUGUACCAGUGAAGCACAUCACUAGAAAAGGCAUCCGGGAAGAAGUGCAAAAUCGCUGGAUCUGCUGCUACGAAUGGUGCCCUAUCGCAAUUUUUGUUCAAAGUAGAGGACGAGGACAGACUCUUCAUCAUUUCUGGAUUCCCAGAAGCCCCGAGACGCUGCUAACAUUUGCUCAUGCUCGAUGCGAAUCAAAUUCCUCUAGACAGUGACAGUGAAACAAAAACAGCAGUAUCCUAUCGCAUUGGUGCCCCAUUUCACUCUUUCUGCUAUCCUAUUAAAAAGGUAAUCCAUAUGCACAAAAUUUAGGCAUAGAGUACGCUGAUUAUAUUAGCAGCAUGAGAUGAGCUUUGUCAAUAAAUGAUUGAGGUUCCACAUGGGAUAUUAAAACAGACCAAGCUUUUAAAUCCCAUAGAUUUCAAAUAGCAGAAAUGCGAACAUUUACAAAUUACAGACCGAAAAGCACACCGAAAGCCGAAUGUCUGACUGAGUAUAAUAUAGUAGUAAGUAUCAGACUCCUCAUGAAACUUUCAGCUGAUAAUGAUCAACAAGAACAGGGGCCAAAGGCCUUACGACCAAAAUUGGAGUUAUUGUGCAUUUUAUCAGAGGACGUGUUUCCUUAAACGGACUUGCAGUUGAAACUCCGCGGCCUUAGCAGGUCUGCAUCCUGUUAAGAGGUUUAACUACAUUUGCCAAAAGCAUAACACGGGGAGGCCAAAAUCUCAAUAAUCUUGAAACUAUCAUUGUUGGUGCAGGGACUAGGGGAAGAACAAACUCUGGCCCUAGAACAGCAUAAGAGUGACUCUCUCUCUCUCCCUAUAAUUUGUCCAGCCAACUAAAAACACUGUCUUGAGAACCAAAAUUCAGAUCCUGCACAUGUAGACCCAAGAUGAUUUUCAGUUUAUUUAAGAUAGAGAUCCAGAAGACUUGUCACAGAGUAAACAAAGAGCUUACCCCAAGCUGAAAGUCCGGUGGAGAAUCCAGUUCCAAGUUCUCAAGUUCAGCUAUUCCACAGGCAGAGCUCCCAACAACUUGUGGCACAUCAUUUGUAUUGCGAGUAAGACCGCCGAAAGGCCCACCAUCAAGUCCAAAAUCACCGGAAAGGAUCGAUGAAUCAAUAAUCUCAUUGCAUAAGAGCAGCUCAUCCACACCAUUUACGUCAGCAGCCUGGGAUUCUCCAGCCAACCAAGUGUUGUGUUCUGUCUUAUCUUUUACUUGAGCAUCAGACGAAGAAGAAUUCAAUGCUUCUUUGACAAAGCCCAUCUCCUAAUUCAUGUUAUAGCAACUAGAAUGAGAACUAAGUUCUCAAGUUGAUAGUAUAAACUAAACCCAUGAGAUACUUGUUCCUAAACAUUCACAGCAUUCAGACAAAGAUAACAUGAUCGAUAAGAUUAUCCUGUACUAUACGCCUUUUAUGCCACAUUAGCAAACAAUUACUUUCUGGAAAAAUCUUGAGAAUGUCAAAGUGAAGAAACGUACUACUUUAGCUGUACAGUACAGCAUUGGUCUAUUCUUAUAUUUGCUCACCCUACUGAUUAACAUGAUAAAAAGCACCAAAAAAAAAAAAGAGUAACCAGUUGCUCAAGCAUUACUUUUGUUUUUCGUAUAAUACCAUUCAGUCUUAAGUAACUACACAAUCUAAGACAUUAUUUAGCAAGGCAGAAAAACAUAUUUACUCAAAGUUACUUCAAACCUGAAAAGAUGGUUGCAUUGAAUAAUCAUCUGUGGCAUCAUCAAAGGAAGGGGUUUCACCAGGACGAGGUGGGUCAGGAGCAACUAUCUUAGGAGUCCUGGGACUGGUUCGAGACGUCCCAAUAUCAUAAUCCAAAAUUGAUGGAGAACCAUCAUAAGCAUUAUGUUUAUCACUUUGCUCGGUUGUUAAUAAAGCAUCAUGGUUAUCACUCUGCUCAAUUUUUAUGGAAGUAUCAUUAUUAUCCACUUGCUUGUGCUGCUGAUAGAAAAUCUUGGAAACCACAUAUUGUCCUUCUUUUUCAUCUUCAUCACUUCCUAGAUGAUACUGAUGCAUAACCCAUUUAGACUUAUCAGGUUUGGAACCUUUUUGAAGUUCGGUAGAGAACCAUUAUCUUCUUACAUCCUUUUUGGAUCCCAUUGUCCAUAACAGUUUUGGUUUUACCAGUCUUAUGCCAGCGGACUUGCUCGUUUAUCAAGCUAUUUUCGAUAUGAAUUUUACGACGCUUCCGCUGGCCAGUUGCAUAUGCAUUUGUAGUACGGUAGAAGAAGUGGACAGUGCUUCCGUCUUUCUUAGCACCUGAAAAGAAGUUAAGAUGAUAAUUUAGAGACGUAGCCACAAGACUAAAUGAACCCAAUAGAAUUGGUCUACUCGUGGUUGAUGCUCAACAUGAUAAAAAAUUUUGUACUAAUAACACAUUCAAUCGAGUGAAUAGGAGCUAUCAGAUUGACUGAAAAUGAUGAUAACUGCAGGCAAUAAAAAGAAAGAAAACGUAAUUGAAAUAAAAUAGUUUGUCAGUAGCAUUAAAAUUGGUCACACCAAAAACACGAUUACAUUAAAGUACAUCUAACAGCAUGACAAUUAUGAUUAUUCCCAGUUUCAAGUAGAGAAGUAUUCACAGCAACAUGAUCAUGCAAUUUUCUCACAAGGUUAAUUCCUAUUGUGGACAACACAAAUGAGACAAACUUAAGUCAAAUUCUCCAGCAAUGGCAUCAAAUUGCUGUUGCUUCAAAGUUUUAAUGGGUAUCAUCAGUGCACAUCCAAAGCAGAAGAGUAUACAUUUUCCACAGUAGUUUUUGGUUCAAAUCCUUCUCAGAAAUCAAAGUGCUAAUGCUAUCACAAAAUAAAAGAGAAAUAGCAUUCAUCUUUAAUUAAUGGGAGUUUGUUCACCUGGAAGAUUUUCAGGAUGAGUAUAACAUAUUCCUUCAUCACCCUCAAGUGUUGGAAUGAACUCAUCAAUGAACUUGUGGGACUCCGAGUUUCCUACCCCACAUUUUGCUGCCAAGUGUUCUAAUAACUCUGCAUCAGAUGGGUCAAACUUUACACCAGCAGGCAAGCCAGGCCAUUCAUGACAAAUCUGAGAGACCAGGCAUUAUAAGAAGUACAUCAAGAGCAUGCUUCCAAUAUAUAUGUCAACCUCACUUUUAAAGAAUAAAAGAAGGCUGUCAAGUCUAAAAUGCAAUUAAGUCUACUUGUAUAUGGACGCUCAGCACAAAUACUGCAUCUCAAGAAAGACAUUUUUGUGAAGAAUAAUUAGCACACAAGAAAAUAAGCUACUAGAAAGUGCAUUGAAGGAAAAAAAAAAAGCUUACAUCACUGUUAUCAAUUAUAUAGUGACACUUUGGGCAUUCACGAUUUGCUCCACAAUCUUUGAUUUGAUGUGCAGUGGGCAGAACGGCAUUUUUCACCUUUGUUGCAAGUCCUCUGCUAUCAAUAACCCAAGACCUACAUCAAUCAGUUUGAGUUAGACUAAGUUGGAAAACAAUAGACAGAAUUCUAUUUGCCCAGAGAAGUAAAAGUAGAGAGGGUGCAGAACAAUAAAAGCAGCAAUAGCAGAGCAACCAUGAAAUUUGUCCCCACCCCAACUCUGCUUGUAGGGAGGUUAGCAGAGUAUCCGUGCCCAACUCUCUAGCCCUCCCAUUUAAUCUUACCCAUUGUUAGGCUUAGAGUCUCCCUUGAAUCGAAAAUCCAAAAAGAUACAGAGAUACCAAUGUAGAUCGUCUGAUUGGAAAAAAACCACUUUCAUGCUAGUUAAGAAACGGACAGUGAACAAAUUGAGGAAUGAAAGCAGAACUGAAAUACCGAAUAUGCAUGAGUACAUUGUAGAAGUUCUACAGGGGAAAUGGCAAAUUCUUUGAUAUCUAAUCUGCGAUGCAUUGCCUGGCCAGACUCGACUAACAAAUGAUUGCCUUAUCUAAUGGUUUCUUUAUAUUACUGAAGAAUAUCGUAGAAGGUACUUGAAUGCUUCUAGUAACCUAUCAAACACAUUAUAAACCAAUCGAAAACUAGGCAUGCGACCUAAAAUUAACCGGUACAUCCAAGCAACGUUGAUAUGGAUAAAAUAUUGUCCCUUGUUAUAAAAUUGAUAAAAAUCCACCACCGGCCAACAAACCAGCUCCUUUUUUUUUUUUUUAUCAUUCUCAGUGUACCGGAAAUGUAGCUGAAUCAAACCAAAAUCCUCACAAUCCGGUGGUGGUCUAGCUGACAUCUCUGGCUAUCGUCGACAUGUACUAAAGAUCUUAAUCCAUCGUCAGAUAAUGAAAAUUCUCUCAACCCCAAGUUGGCUAACCCACAAAAUAAAACACAUUGGAAUAAAAUCACAUCCGACUAUCAGACGAACAUCAAUAUCUCAGCUUGUCACACAACCUUUCCCAAACAACACAUUAAUGACUAAAAUAGAUAACACAGAACCCCGGUAAACAAAAGAUCACAGCUUUCAGUACAUUCUAUCUGAAACGUCUCCCGUGGCUUCGGACCACACCCAAUGAUGAAAAUCAAUUCAGGAGACUUUAAUAGAAAACCUUUUUCAUUUAUUUAAAAAAAAAAGAAAAUAAACCCCUUUUUUCUAAUGUAAAUUUUGAUACCGCUAUGGUAGUAAUAGAUACAGGGGAGGUGUUUGUGUGAUUUUUUGUUUACCUUGCCAUGGCGUUCAACCGAUACUACGACACAGAGAAUAAGUUGGAGGAAAUAAACGGGCGAUAGCUGAGAAGCAGCAGCUGAGCUGACUGCCUUUUGUGCCUCUCGCGUAGUUUCACAACACACUCUCUCCACUCGGCUAAGUAACUCUAGUCUCAUCACAAGAGAGGAGACUAGAGGAGAUUAUUGAGAGCGGUGUGGAAGAGCGGGAAAACUUAGUCGCGGGAGGCUUGGAAUCCGAACCUGUAGGUCCGGUUUAGAAUCUCGCUGUUCACCAAUGCUUCGAGCGAUUAGUAGUUUUUUCCCUUACUUUUAGUUUAGGUAUAAUAUCAGAAGCUUGCUUUGAAAUUUCUUCUAAUAUCACUUAACACUUUUAAAAUUUUAAAAAUAUCAUUUACCUCCUCUAAUAAUUGUAAAAAGAUUAUAUUAACCCUCGCUUAAUACAUAAUUUAUAUAUCAAAUAAAUAAAUUUAAAAAAUUAAAAGAAGAAUAAGAAAUGAAAGUCAUUUUCUUCUUUUUCUCUUUUCCCCAAUAUUCUCUCUUAUUCAUUUUUUAGAUGAUUAUACAAUAUUUUAUUUGUAAAUUAUAAUAACUUUAAUUUUAUUUAUCAUUUACUUCUUGUGAUUGUGAAAGAAUGGGACAUGAUUUAUUUACUUAUUUUAAAUUUAUUUUUAUAAUGAUCAGUACAAUUUAAAAGAUUUAGGCACGAGUUGAGAAGAAGUUGAAAAAAAUAAAAUUUAUAAGAACUCGAUUUUGAGUAUAUAAAGUUCAAUUGAUGCAAAUGUAUUUCUGUGUAAAUAUCUUUUUUUAUUUUUCAAAUUUAUAAUUUAUGGAUUAUAGCAUUAUGAUAUGACAAUAUUACUAGAGAUUAUUUUUUAAGUGAUAAUUUUUUUGAAGUAAAAUAAGGUGAUGUACGAAUAUUUUCAUUUAGUAUUAAGAAGGUAGUUUAACACUUUUAAAAAUUUUAUUACAUAAAUAACAAAAAUAAAUGAAGUAAAUGAUAUUUUAAAAACUUUCCGGGUACUAAUUGAUGAAACAGAGAGAAACCGCCCUUUAAUUUAUAUGGCCCACCCCGUUGACGAAACCAGACUCCGAGGCUGGGGUUCGGACACGGGCUGCCUCAGCAAGUGGGAAGUUUGCGAGGGAAAAAAGUGGGAAGUUGCCUCGGUAGACGAUAUUUUAAGUAUCAGCAGUAUCAAACGGUAAAUUUGGCGGGCCCUCUAAUCUUGCUCUCCAAGUUAUAUUUAUGGAAACGUUUACUCGUACAUAUGUAAUGCAUUACGCAUGUAUAUUCAUUUCUGUUAUGGUCAUAGGAAUCUGUUUGACGCUGAAUUCACCUUUUCGUACAGUCGCUUUCAAUCUACACUCUCGAGUGAAGUGAGGGGCAAACCACCAGCCAACGGCUCAGUGGCCAUCAGGGAGGGAGGGACUUAAGUCUCUUUUUGGGUUGUCGGUAAGGUUUGAACUCUUACCAGCAGUGAAAAAAAUCUAAGAGUUGUGUCAUAAUACUCCUUUGAUAUAAUUGGAUUUGUAUACUCACUAGCCCUUACAACAGCCUCCUUAGGCUCCCUCCCUUAAAUUAGGAUAGAGUAAGUUAUACAAAUGUAUCGUUGCUGAUAAAGAAAAAGGGUGAAAUGAGAGGCAAAGUGGGAAAAGAGCUCCAUUUAUUAUUUUAUUAUUUUAGCUGAUGAAGUGAUGGAGAGUGGAUGCCGGAAAUUUCUUGCAAUGAAUAGAUGCGAGUGAUGAUGGAUAAUUGAUUAGUGUAAGCUGUAACUGGAUUUUUAUUUUUUUUUUGUGAAUUAUCAUCAAUUACUCUUACUCUUAAUCUAACUUAUUCUAACGGGUAACCCGCUAUAACUGAAUUAUUCUGCUAAUCUUCUAUAUAUAAACUGGGAGUCGGAUUGUGAGAGUCUGCCGAAGAAAGCAGGAGGGGACUUCCGUCCGCUUACGUGGAAGCUGGCUGUCUGUUACUACAUUGGUUCGUUUUGUCACGAUUUUACGCGUCAUUUUAGUCACUGGCCGAAACCAUCAACCUGUCGUUGUAGUAUAGUGGUGAGUAUUCCCGCCUGUCACGCGGGUGACCCGGGUUCGAUCCCCGGCAACGGCGUCUUUUUGUUUUUUUAAACCCCUGACUCAGCUCCGCUCUGGAAGGCCAUUUCAUUUUCUCGGAUUGUUGGCGAAGGCCAUUUCAUAAACGCUACUCUCCGUAAAUCCUCUCCUUCCAUAAGCAUUGUAUCGUAACAGUGUAGUGGUUGUAAUGAGCAGCUGCUACCACCAUUUACAUUACGCUGUUUCAAGUCUUUAACGCUCCUUCACUAUCCCGAACGAAGACGGUCCCCAAAAACCAAAAAAAUAAAAUAAAAUCACAAAGAAAAAUAAUAAUGAAUGGCAACUUCAAAAUGCAAUCAAUUUUGUUGAAAAUCUUUUAGCAUCCUGGAUACUUUGUUUACAAGAACAGGUUCGACAUUCAUUUACAAAAGUUGCCGUAAAAUAGUUUAGGACUAUGAUAGGAUGGAGAAAGCAGCACUAGAAAAUCCAAUAGGCAGCAGCUGAUGGCGAGGCUCAAGUUCCCGGUAGCUAAAAAACCUCUUUGGAAGCUGCCCUCCUGCCUGCAUGGAUUGUAUUGCAACCCAAUUUUAUAGUGUCAUAUUGUAGUUCAUAUAUAAAAUAAUGGAGGUAGAGGCCUUUGGAUGACCUUAUUUUACAACCACAUCACAUCACAUCACAUCACAGCGACCCCGACUCCAUAUCUAGAAGAAGCAUUCAGCAUUUUAGUCAGAACCAAUCAAUAAUAAUAUGUUAAAAGGGGUAUGUUGUCAUGCACCUUCGGCAGCAACAUUAAACUUACAUGGCAAGUCUACCUAGCAUCUAAACUAGUUUUGAGUCAAACUGGCAUAAUCUGUGAAUAUAUGCUAUUUAACAUUUGUGGCUACAAGUUCACCUCGGCUUUUCCGGUCGAUGGGAUAGUUGAAGCCUUUGUACUGCUUCAAACCAAAACGUCACCAUCUCCCAAAAUUAGCAGCACUGGUCAAAACAGAAGAACAAACCUCUUGGCUUGCCAUCCAUCGCGGUCUUUGGGGUUUCUCCAGCGUCGUCCCUUUUUGCCAUCAAGGAGCUAGUGCCUGGAGACUCUGGUGGCAAGAUAGCAUUCUCAGAAGUGAAAAUCCGGGCUGGUAUGACAGGUUCUGGUGGUGAAAUUGUUGACAGAUAAUGCAGAAGCAUUUGUAUUAUUUGAGUGAAGUUAGGCCGGGCAUUGGGAUCCUCUUCCCAACAUGAAGUCACAAUUGAAGGCAAAUCCCCGGAAGAUCAUCAGCACUUGGCCUCACAUUCUGAAACCAGAUGUCCAAAUGGAUUUUAUCCAACAUUUCGGCGUGCACACAAAAUUUUCGAUCUUAAUAUUUCCCCAUUAACAGGUUUCGGGCGAACAACAAACAUAUAAACGAGAGAGCAUCUUAAUUGCUAAAUGCAGCACAUGCCAAUUUCUAACCCUCUUCCCUGUACUGUUAUGCAUUCAAUUCUGAAACUACUGCCUCCUUUAAAACAACUCGCUACAAUUUCAGUAUUAAUCAGUGGCUUUUGGCAGUAGUGUUAUAUUAAAUGGUACUAGCAUAUGCUUCAAUUCAGUAGUUAACAAUUUCCCACAUAAAGAUCCAAAGCUUCCUCGUCAGUCUCAUAUAUAGCAAAUUUAGCAAAACAGGUAUCAAGUUUCUAUGGUGUCAGCAAACAAAUUGCCCUCUAAAAUCUUAAAGGAAUUCAAUAAUUACAUAGAAGUGCAAUGUUUCCAAGCUUAUUUUAACUCUUGGCCAAAGAUGAGGAAGUGAUUAAGUUUGAUUCAUAUCAAUAUCUCUUGACGUGGCAAUCGGCAAAAACUAUGAGACUGAAUUUCUCUCCCUCUCCCUUGUCCCAAAGGAAGUAACAGCUAAAACAAAAAUCAAAUCAAAUCAAAUAAAGAAGACAUAGUAAGUACUGAAAACUUUGGUUUAAUGUCAAUGAUCUUUGAUCUCCCCUUAGGUCUCUCAUAAUUACAAGUACUCUCUGUUGUUUCUGAAAUUACAAGAACCUUCCUUAUGAGCUAUUAUGGCAAAUGAAAUCUGCCCUUAUAUAUAAAUUUUUUAUACUAACUACCCUGGUUGCGUCGUCUAAGAAUUGCAAAUAAUUGUUUUUUACUGUCAACAGCUUCUAAUAAUGUCGCAAACAGGAAGCAUAUACACAUAACAUGAAAUAGAACUACAGUGAAUUUUGAUGUAAUUCAGAACAGAAGAAACAAGAGGUUGCGAUUGAUAUGAUAAAUCUCAAGGAGUGUGUAACUUCCAAAAUGUUAAAACAAGAAUUACCUUGAAAGCUGCAGCAUAAGCUGCCUGCAGAUUUGACAUUCCUUCGAAUGGCAACUUGUUGAGGAUAAGUUCCCAAAGCACAAUUGCACAAAACUAUAAGCAUCCACCUUGUGGUUAUAAUGCUUUUUCUCUCCAUGCCUCAAUGUGACUGUGCUGUAAAGCUAUAAUUCAAAAAGAAAAAGAGACUGUAAUUCAUCUUACAUGCUGCCUAAUUAAAGAUGAAAAUUUAAAAAAGCAAAAAAUAAAAAUAAAUAAAUGACUAUAGACAAAUAAAAAGGAAUAGAAGUAAAAGCUUAAUGGUCCAUCCAAAUACCUCUGGAGCCAUCCAGCGAUAAGUUCCAGUCUCAGCAGUCAUCAUCUCUGUCAAUGACUCCUCUCUUGCCAAGCCAAAAUCAGCCAGUUUAACAGUUUUACGAUCCGCUGUCAGGAGCAAGUUUUCUGGACAGCAGACAACCAGAUUAUCAAGCUUUUUCUCAAAUAGUUUCAUAUGAGCAUGCAAAAUUAAUGAGAAAGCAAUCAAGAAAGAUAAAGAGAAGGCGGCCAAGAAACCGGCUGUAAGAUGUAAAUCAACAUAUUUGUCUCUAACAAUAUAUCCCUCGAUAGCAAAGAUAUAAAACGAUGAAACUCUCAAGAUAAUUUGUCAUUUUGGAACACUUUCAACAUUUUCACCUGUACAAGACUAGGUUGAACACAUAAGAAAAUAUGCAUGAUUACCAUUUGGUCCAUUACUCAUAGACCCAAAAGAAAAAUGUCCAACAGUGAGAUAGAAUGUUGAACUAAUAGUAGCGUCCUAAUUCUUCUAACUCAGAAAGUUUAGCACCUUUAGUGGAAACACUUCAAUGAGGUAGAGUACAAUUUGAUAGACAGGAUAGAGUAUAAUAUUUGUUCUUCACAGCCUGCACACCAAAUCCUUAAUUACCCAAACCCACCUAUGAUAUGAGGAUGUCAGCAGAACUCAACCCUGACCCUUACCUUCAAUUUGACAAAAUGGACAAAGAUCUUCAGAUGGCAUGAAUGAAUCAAUGUUUGGAGACAUGCUCCAAGCAUCCUCCAUUAAGGAAAGAGUUGCGACAGUGAGGACAGACAGUCAUCCUAGUGGCAGACGACUUUGAAGAGCCAAAACUGAACUGAUUAGUUUCCCUCAACAAACCAUAAAAGCAGAAUAAAGUCCUCAAAGUAUAAUAUGUCCCCACCACUCAUCAAAUUGCAUAAACAGAUUCUCAUGUUGAGCUUCUCAAUUAGCAGGAAUCCUCGAACAAAACCUAAUGCUGAUCAUUCAAUGUGAUUCUAGCCAUUGAAGCUUAUGCUAGCACUUUUUACCCAAAUGACAAAUCAUUCUAUGUGCAUCAGAAAAACAGGCAAAACUGGCUAUUCAAGAAGUAGGAGGAGAUGAACUUCUAAGACAAUGGUAUGGCAAAAGAAAAUUUUAAAUAAGCAUCUACACUGGCUAAAUUUGUAUAAAAAACUCAAACUAAAGUGUAACUGAUGACUACCAGGUUUUAAAUCGCGAUGUAUGAUCCCAUGAGAGUGUAAACAUUCCAUGGCACGAGCUAUAUCAAGUGCAAACCCCAUUGCAACGCGCGUAUCCAAGCAUCUUGGGCGCAAAUCAAGCAAGUAUUUCCUUAGUGUCCCACCAAGAAGAAGUUCAGUUACAAUCACCAUGACAGGCUCUUUGCAAGCUCCAAUAAACUGUAAAGACUCAAAAUAGCACAUCAUUAGGUCGGUGUACAACUAAAAAUCAGCCAUCUAGCAGUUGAUCCAAGAUAAAUUCUUUUAAUAAGCUAAAGUUGGUAAAAUGGUAUAUGAACCUUCACUAAGUUCUUAUGUUGGACUCUAGAUAACAUGGCAACCUCUCUCGCAAAUCGGGCGUCCCUCUUGGCAAUCUCCUCUGGUGUCUCCCCUUUGUGAACUUUGAUAGCAACAUUCUGGUUUUUAUAUCUGAAAAUAUUUUUAAAAUCCGACAAAUGAGAAUGAACUACAAUCCAUCAAUGUUCAACGUUUCUCGCUAAAAAUUACUGUGAUAUAUUAGUAAAAACAAGCCCUCCCCACAGUAAAUCGUGUGAAAUCUAUCGUAUAUAGAUGUGUUUAUACCCGAAUAUUUAAUAAUAAAAAAAAAAAGGAGCAACUAUCAUCGAAACCUGGAAGAUCAAGAUUAAGUGAAUCUGAAAAGUGACUAAAGGGGAUUUUAGUGAGUAAACUUACUUUCCCUCGUAGACUUUGGCAUGAGCACCUUCUCCAAUCUUCGGACCAACAAAAAGAAGCUUCGGAUCAAUCAACCAUUUUGGGUCCAAACUGAAUUCUCCCACCGAGUAAUACCCAUCUCCCAUUUUCACCCUUUCUUAAUAUAUAUCCGAGAUUCCGGCUAAACGAACUAAAACAGCUAACUAUUACCAAUAGCAAAGAUUGAAACUUUAGAAUUGUUCACUCGUCUUGAAAGAACCCAAAUGAACAAACAUAUAAAAUCAGUACAUCACCAUAUCUGAGACAAACAUCCCAACUUCAUGCUCUGGGAUUAAUUGCAUCCAACACUAGCAAUAAUAAUCCCACGAUUAUCGACUUCAACAACUCAAAAAAAAAUCUGUCAAGAAGCAGAAAACAUCAACAAUAAUAUGUUGGGAAUGAUAAGAGUACUAAAGAAUCAGCGAAAAAAUCCUCCAAUGAGCACGGAGAAUUAAAGAAUACAGAUCAGUAGUCUUUUAGUGGCAAGAGGAGUAAGACUUUUGAGAGUUUAUUUAAGCUUUUUUUGUCACCGCGUAGUAGUAGUACUACUAUUUUUUUUCCUCUCGUGUAUUCUUGAUCUGCAAAGAUAAAGCCGCGGCGGAAAUUGAGUCUAUGUCAGAAGAGCUCUAUUAUUUUUGUCUUUUGGAAUUAUUUUAUGGAGUCCAGAAUAUGUACAGACUACAGAAACAAGAGGAAGGGAGACAAUCAAGGUUAGAAUGGGUAGAAAACAAGAUGCCGCUGAAUAAAUUUAUCAUGUCCUAAUUAUUUUGGGUCGGGGUAAUGAUACGGGGUAUUCUUACUUCGGAGUUAAACUAAAAUUAUUGUACUUGCACAUGGAAAUGGAUCCUCCACAAGGGACAGUACCGCUCCACAACUGAUAAUGACGGCCAAAUUUUUUUAUUUUUUAUUUUCUGCCUUUUUUCCAGUAAAAUACCGCUAACUAACUAACCACUCUUUUGAACUACUGCUGCUACUCCCUGUGCUGUAUAACCUUUUUUUUCUUUUGUUUUUAACUGACCCGUCAUAGUAAUUCAAUACUACAAUACUUAGGAGUAAACAGUAAUCAUAUUCGGUGGCAGUUUUCUUUUGUUGUUGGUUUGUGUUCUUAUGAGUCUUUUAAGUUUUACAAUAGUAAUAGAAUUAAUCUUCUAUAUAUUAACAGUGUAUAUACUUGCAUCAUUUAAUGAUGUAUGACGCAUAAACUGAAUUUGAAUUUAAAACUCAAAUAUUAUAUAUGUAUCGUAUAUCCAAUCAUAAUAAUAUACACAACAACAACAGUGUAUAUAAAAUAUACUCAUAAUAAUAAUAAUGUGAUUUUGGGGUUGGUUUGAAACUCUGGGUCACCGGAGUCAUUAAUUGUUAAGUGGUAGUAAUAAUCUCUGGUCUCCUAAACCGAAGCAAUUGUUUUGCAUUUUAAUUUGGGGAUAGAAUUAAUGUUUUUGGCAUUUUGUUUUGAAUUGGAAUUUUUGGUAGUCUACCAGUAUUAGUCAACAAAAGACAAUUUAUGCAUUGCAUCCGCGUCCACAAAGAGAGAGAGAGAACAGACUAUUGCUACUAACAUAAAUUAUUUAAAAUUAACUUUUUAUAUAUUGAUAGUAUGGUAAUAUUUUUUAAUAUUAAUAGCUUUAAAUGUAUGCGACAUUUGUAUGAUUUAAAAUUCAAAAAUUUCCAAUUCAUAUUAUGUGUCAUGAUUUAAACCUAUUAGUUAGUAUAAAAUUAUAUUCUAACAGCAUAUGAAAAAAAGUUAUUCAAUUACUUAAUAUAGUAUAGUAGCUUGACUUAAAUAAAAAAAGUCUGCCCUUGGCCACCGCGUUUCCGUUAUCGCUGUCUCCUCAGUCAACUUUAAUAUCCUCUCGUUUAUUGCGUUUAUGGAGGGGAGGGUCAAUUAAAUUGAUUGAACAUUCUGCUCUAAUCCGUUGCUUGCAAUUUUGCAAUUCUAUUACAAUAAUAAUAAUGUCAAUUGCCAACACCAAGUGCCAAUAAAAUCCUUCGCAUUGACCAAAUCAAACCUCCCAUUUGAAUUGAAUAUUAUCUUUUAUUAACAACAAUUAUUUAAUAGAAUAACUAAAUUGAAAGGGGAAACAAGAAAACAUAUGGACCCGUUAAAUCAGUAAGAAAUAAAUUAUUGAUGUCCAAGUCGACGCUGAAGAAAAUGCCAGAGCACUUCAAUUCUAUUGAUUGGUAUUUGUGUAUGGGUCGUCUCCUUGUUUACGAUUGCCGUAAUUUAAAAAUGUUUAUCCCAGUAAAUUUCGAUCUAUUUUCUAGUAAAUCACGGAGCAGAUCCGUUUGAAUUAGCUGUUUUUUGAGGUGUUUUUGAAAAAUUUUACAAUAACAGAGAGUUUUUAGAGUAUAUUUUGAGAUAUUUUUAGAAAAUAUUUUGAAAUAUUUAAGAGUAGUAGAGUUUUUAAAAUAUAUUUUGAGAUAUUUUUUAAAUAUUAAAAAAAAUUUAGACUACUUUUUAGAAUAUCUUUUAAAGUAUUUUUAAAAUUUGUUUAUAGUAUUUAAAAAAUUGAAGGAUCCAACUGUUUUUCUAAACCAAAUUCCGAUAUAAUUAUUUGUCCAGAUAUUCAAAUUAGAGAAGGAAAUUCCAAAUUUGAUUAUAACUACCUAAUUCAUCAAUCACCACAAGUCUUCUUUUAAUUCUUACAUUUAAUCAAAUCGAAACAUGCAAUGGAAUAUCACUACUAACUAGUAGUAAUUGUGAGCAUCACCGUGUGAAUACAAGAGAUUUAUUUAGCACGAGGAUGAUUGAUGAUGCCUUGCCGUUGCCGGUGGGCCAUUGACCCCACCUCCCUCGUUCGAGCCUUUAUUUAUAAAGUCUCAGUGGUCCAAUAAUAAAAUAAAGAGCGGAAAGAAAGGGCAAAAGUGCCAACUGAAGUCUGUCGGAUAAGGCAAUAGAGUACUACUACUUGAGUAGACCCGUACCCGGUCUACGGCCCCAUCCGUAGACCCUAUGGCCCAGAAUUUGCUGCGUCUGUAUCAACUAGUUGGUUCUCUUGUUUUUAUUUGUCCGGUGUUCGUAUCUUGAGCUCAACUCUGCUUUCUCCUCACAAAACAAACCAAAAGAGACCACUCAAUCAAUAAUGAUGACGUCCCUUCACAGACAAAAGCUUCCGUUAGCUCUUCCGGAGUCUUGAGUGGAAAGUCUAUUCUUGAGACGUAGUAAUAAUAAUCUGUCUCAUCAUGGGCCGUUCAUUGCUCCUAAUCCGAAGUCUGUUGCAGUCUUUUUCACUACUUUAGUUUAGUCGCGAAAAAACGUGUUCUUCCUGGACUGUCUUCACCGGCGGCUACUGUGCUCAUUAUGCUUUUUUUUGACUCUUUUCUUUUGAGCCUACCCUGCCCAUGCUCCAAGCAAAUGGCCUCUUCUAUUCCAACUCACAAAAUCACACGGCAGAUUCUUUCCACUCUUCUGGAGCUGGGCACAAGAUGAUUUGUCCAAGGAAGGAAAACCAAAUUUCAACGACCGGGCUUCAUUUGCUUUGAGAAAUUAAGAGCUUUAUUAUUUAUUUAUUAUUAUUCUGAAUUUCUGAUACGAAUAUUGGCUCCGGCGACGAGUUUUGAACGGAUUCAUACAACAUUUUCUUUAAGAUUUUUGGUUGAUAUUACUUGGGAACAAAUUAAAAGAAAAAAUCGGAAAUUAAGCAUCAGAGGACCUCACUCAUCUCUUUCAUGGACUUUGGUGAAGGAAGCCAAAAGAAGGAUUUCUGAGUAUUGAAUUCCGAUGGAUCGUGUGGUGAAUUGGGGUCCGCUAGUGGGGUCGUACACCUAACUUACCCAAGUUUUUGCUGUUGUAUAAUAAUCUCCUUCCAUUUUAUUAUUAUUAUUAUUAUUUUUUGGGUAAAAUUGUGGGGACGAAGCUUGUGACGGAAGUCGGUGGGUUGGGUAAAGCCUUCCAGUGUUGGACCAUCAUGCUUCCCAACUAACUCACCGCUCUUGGUCUCAUGGAUUGGUGAUCAAACUUCUGCGACCACCGGUCCUUGCAUUUUCAUAUUUAUAUGGGUUAAUCACAAUUUAUUCCCUAUAAUUUUGUGUUACUUUUAACCUCUCGAGACACAAAAAUACUCAUCUACUGUGCUGAUUUUUUUUACCAUUCUUAUCUCUUUUCCAAUUUAUUUAUUUUUCAAAAUGCUAUUUUUAAGCAAAUAAAAAGUUUCUCUAACUAAAAAUUUAGGUUGCCCAUUCUCUGAUCCACAAAAUUGGAAAAACUCUAUAUAUAUAUAUAAUCAGUUAAUUACUAAUCAGUUUCAUCUAUUCUCUAAUUUAAGAAAUUAAGAAAAUAUAUUCGUAUCCAAUUUCUUUAUAAUUAGACAAUUCAAAGUCAAUAACCCAAUUUUUACAAUCGCUCAUUAUAUGUUGGUUAUUUGGACAUUUUUUGUUCCUUUUGUCUUCUAAUAGAUUUUUGCUUAUUAGGAAUUUUUUCUGUGCAACUUUUUUCAAAAUAAUCAAUUGGAAGUGUAUUUUCUUUCACCAUAGAAUGUAUUAGAAAAUGUUUAAUCUCUAACGCUCCAAUAAUCGUUCUUAAUUUCAUAUUUUCUUAAUUGCAUUAAUAGAUUUAUUAUUCUUGUUCCAAAGUUGAUUUCUAGUCAAACUUGAUUUCUUCUUUCUCUGUUGUCCAUUUCUGUCUCUUUCUCUUUCCCACCUCUCCAUCCAAUUAAAAUAUUAUUUCAAUCCCUCAUCCCCGAUCUAUUAUUUUCAGGGCUUUUGUUUGAUUUAGACCCGUUUGUCAAGUGAAUUUUUUGAGCAUUUAUAAAAAAAAAAAUUUGAAGUGUGUAAAUUUUUGAAUAUUUUAAAGUGCAUCAUUUAAAAAGUUUGAGAAAUUUUUUGAUGUUACUAUAGCUAAAAUUAUUAAAAAACUUGUAGCAAACAAACUUGGUCAAAAUCUUGCUUGCCAAACAAGGCUUAUGUUCGCUACGAUAUUAACCAAUCUUUUCUAAUAUCUUCUCGGGAUGUUUAAAAAACAAAUGAGUGAGCUUUUGGCUGUUUCUUAAUUUCAAUUUCUCUAUUGAACAAUUAAAAGCAGUUUAUUAUUUUCAAUUUUUUAUUGCACCACAUUUAACACAUAUUAGAAAAUGAUUCAAAUAAAGAUCAAGACAGAAAUAUCCAUUAGCAAAAUAAGCCUCCCAGCAAUAAAACACAUAACUUGAACUAAAAUAUGGUAUGGGCUAUAAGCUCCCUAAAAGGGUAAAUAUCUGGAAGAACUAACCUCUUUUUACAGCCUGUCCUACACUUCUGCAUAUUAAAAUUCUACACUUUCUGGGAUUACAGAAGGGUCUAGAAACUGUUGAUGCCACGAUGGGUGAUUCAUUGGUUCCAUGCUAUCUUUUCAACAGCAGCACAUCGCACUUCAUCGACGCUUGUACAAACAUGGCUUCAGUCCAGGCCAUCUGAUUUCAUUUACGUUUAGCUUUUCGUCUUCCUGCAAAAAAAUGAAAUAAACAAAAAAUCAUAUAUUGCCAUCUCUUCAUAGCGUUUCUUCACAUGCACAUCCAGAGGAUACGUAAUGACAAACAUUGCAGACCUUUUUCUUGAAGUAUAGCAGUAUAAACAUUUUGUUGGAGAAGUCCUGCAAGACACCAGACAUUCUUAGUUACUCACGUCAGAGAUCACAUUGUACAAAAAUAGUACUCCUACAAACCUUUGACAAGGCGGUGAAUCCCAGUUGGCAUAUUGCUUUUGAAAAUUUGUUUGGAUCUGCUCCGCCGGUACUGGGGUCAAACCUGCUCUUCACUUCUGCAAUCAAAAGCCACCCACUGAAGAAAAAUCAAGAUCACCCAUAUUAUUAACUAAAUGUAAACAAAAUCAGGCAUUCCAAAACUUGAAAGAAAAGAGACAGUGUUGCAUGUAUACCGCGGCUUAAGAACUCUGUGUGCUUCCAGAAUAAAACUUGAGUAGUUAGUUCCCAUCAAAGAGAGACAAAAUACUGCAACAUCAACGGAUGAAGAAUCAAGAGGAGUCUGCAAGAAUACAACAAAUUAGAAAACAAGCUCCCUCAAUGUUUUAUAAUCUAAAGACUGUUUUGAGAGAAUGAUCUGUAAUUCUAACUAGACCCUAAUGUAACUCCAAAUUAUCAGGUAAGCACCAGAACCACUCUUAGGAUUUUGAACGAAACCCACAUUCGACAUAUCACAAGCAAUCACUGAUGAGUCCUUGGAAAUGAGAUCAAGGGAGAAGACUUUAUUCUUAACAUUUCUUGCAAGACAUGCAUCCCCUGGAAUAAAAAAAAGUUUUGUUUAUCAUCAAAAAUAAACAAAUUGAAGAACUUUGACAGUUUAUCAUGAUUACUAGUAUAAUCCAGUUAUAUUCUUACCACAGCCAAAAUCAGCAACGAUUAAAGAUGGGCUGUGAUCCUUUAACCACUUUGUGAUUACAUUAACUGGCUGUUCAGGCCAAUGUGACAUUUGUUCUUGAUAUCCUGCAUGAUACUGGCCGUGUAAUCAAGCCUAAGUUAAGCUGCAGAAAAUCAAAAUAUGCAAUAAAACAACUACUUUCAAUAACAUCCCAUCUGAUGCGCCUUUAUGCAGGUGAAGAAAACAUCAUAGAUCAACCAAAAUAGUGUAAAAAACAAAAAAAAAAAAAAUCCCAGAAGAAAGAAAACCAUUGUAGAUGAGUAAAGUGAUCUACAACAAAAAUGAUGCUGAAGAUAUACCAAAAAGCAUGCCUGACUACUAAAUUAGUAAUAUCUAAUUAAAUUGAGAGGAGACUGCCGUGAAGUUAGAGGUGCAUCAAAAUUGUGAACUGAAAAACCAACAUAAAAUGAUUAUACAGUAGGUUAUACAAGAGCAUAUGCAAGCAAAGACAUGGGAAUCCUACAAAAUAGUUGAAAUAGGGAACAUGUCUUACCAUAUUGAACAAUGCCGGAUCUUCUUUGAAAUAGUUGAAUGCCUCCUGUCCACUGGAAUUCAAAAGGGAAAAAAAAAAGCCAAAAUUGCACACGAGUUAAUGCAUGAUAUAGAUUAAGAUAAUAAUAUGGAGACAGAAAUUGAAAACGAAAAAUGAAAUAAGCUGAUAAAUUCUGGUACAUGUAGAUUUUUUUAAAAGCAUCACCGAAUCAAAAGGCAACAAAAUUUGCAAAAGCAGGGAUCAAAAUAGGGAGUAGUACUAAAGAGACGAAUGUUUACUCUUGAAAAAAAGGACAAUCAACAGAAAAUUAAGAGCACCAAAACUAAUUAUAGAACUUAAAUUGACUAUUUUUCCUGUUUGAACCUGCAAUUUCCUUUUUCUUUUCUUUUUUCCCCUUUUUUGCAUAUUCAACAACUAUGUCCACGAAUGAAAAGCGGCAGCAGCAGGAGCCAGAAGUGGAGCUUACGUGCAAGUGUAGAGUUUCUCAUUAAUCAUGCGAAAGUGUCCUCCUGAUAACUUCGCUUUCAUCUGCAGCCACAACCAUAACUCCCAUUAUAUCCAUACAUCUGUUUUUUUUGCCUGACAUAUUAUAUUUCCCUCUUCCUCCCCACCCCCCGAACGAUUCAGAGAGAGAAAUCCAAGGAGAUACCUUGUCGAGGAACGAAGACGAGGCGAUUCUUGCUUUGGAAUUGCACUUAACAACAGCAGCAGCUGGAGAAGACCGAUUCUUAGUAUUAGCGUUAAGGGUCUGCUCGAGAGAAGGAGGAGGAGAAUCGCCGGCCACCUGCUGCUUUCGGCGGUGACGCUUCCCCCUCUUCCGUUUUCGGCUCCGUUGCUGUUGGUUUAUUAUUCCUCGCCGUUCCUCCUCCGUCAUCUCUUCCUUCCUAGUCUCUCCCUCCUAGCCAGUGUAAAGUGAAGAAGGGCACAGCAUGGUAGUACAGCAGGACACCUUUACCAUGGGGAUUGGACCUUUAUAUGGGCCGGACCCAUCCGAGACGAGUUAUAUGAGGCCCAUAUCAAACAGAAACUUUCAUUUCCCCGCCUUGAAGGCCCUGUUGGAUAUUGAUUGGGCUCCUAUCUUAUCUAACAUGUUAGCCCAAUGAGCGAGUUACAUGUGUUUUGUAAGGGGCUAGUGGGUAUACAGACCCAACUAGAUCAAGGAAGUGCUCUGGCACAACCCUUAGAUUUUUUCGCUGCAGGUGAGAUUUGAACCCUCAUCUAUAGCCCAAGAAGGGACUUAAACCCCUCUCUGGUGGCCACUGAGCCAUUGGCCUAGUGGUUUGAAUCCUGCAGCUGCUAGUGUGAGAAUUAUGUUGGUGUAAACAUCCCUGUAAAUGACUUUAGGAAGCAUGUCCCAAUGUGAGGUGGUGAUCAAAAUCCAUAUCCAUGACACCCAAACUUUAAUUACCAAAAAAACACAAACUAGAACCAAGUUCAACGGGUAGAAACAUUAUUGCAAGGACUCUCAAAGUUUCAAUCUCCCCCUUUUUCCAUUUGCCCAUUUAAGAUUUAUAAUUUUUCUUAAAUAAAAUAAAACUACAUAAAUCGAGGAUUUAAAUGAAUGAUAAAAAUUUACCCUUUAUAAUAAGAGUUUCUGUUUUUCACUCAAAACACAAACAGGGCCUUAGUUACAAGUUCAACAUCGUCUCAUUGUAGACCCUUAAAAGAAAGAGCCAAAACACCCAAUAACCCAGCUGAUUACCCAUUGUCCUUUUUUUCUGUUUGGGGGUCUAAUGGAGGGUGCAGGGUGCUAAUCUAGCUGAUCACCCGUUGUCACUUGAGGUUCCAAUUGUAGCGUCUGCAGUGGAGAAUUUGAGGUCCUGUGAUCCCAUCAGUACUCAUAUAAUCAGCUCUUAAUCUUUAUUGAUAAGGUUAAACUCAUAGCUCCUUGAAUUGCGAGAAUUCCACAUUUCAUGUUGAUCGAGGAGACAUGAUAAAAUAACAGCAGAGAGAAACUUCCCAGAGUUAUUUCAUGGAUAAAAUGCAUUUACUCCGACACCACCAGAUAGAAACCCCCCAAAAAAAAAAGAAAAAGAAAAAAAAGCAGCAAUGUGCCUUGGAUCUUAUCAUAAUGCUCAUACCGAGGCGGAGGCCAAAACGCACACAAGAGUAGAGCAAUGAAGUCCUUCACUUCUAAGGCAUGCAAAAAGUAAAUGAGCAGCAGCUCCCCUCGAAUUUCUCCUUUAUAAAACCCCAGCAGUACCUUGCAUUGUGUCCGUCCCACCACGUCAUAGCAGACACAGUCUCCCCUCCUCCUUUUACCAGCUAAAUUCCAAUCCUAAUCUCAAUUUUCUUUCGAAGAAGAUGCCGACGGCAGUUGAUGAGGUUACUGCAAAGACUGAGAUGGUUGAAAUUGAACCAAACACCGGCCUUGCUCUGAAGACAGCAACGAAUGAGGAGAAAGCAAAUGAUGAGCCGGAGGCCAAAAUUUCCACCGGUGAGGCACCUAAACCGAAAGACAUGCAGCAGAAAAACGAACCCGGAGAUCCAGACGACGCAAAGAGCCAGAAAGUUGGGGAAGAGAAGGAGCCCGAAUGCCACAAAGAGCAAGAAGCGGACGUGCCAGUUGAAGUUGAACCAAAGACGGGCGUUUCUUUUCCAGUUAAGUUGAACGAUGGGAAGCAAUUGGAAGCUGUUGGUUUGAGGAAGAAGAGCAUGCUUGGCUUGGGAAUCAAAAUUUAUGCAUUUGGUAUCAUUCUCAAAACUUUGCUUUUUCUUCUGAAAAUUUGCAGCGCAUGGUCGGUGACGGUCCUAAUAUUGCUCAUCUCAUGUUGGGUAAUCGAUGUUUAGAGUUGGUCAAGAAAGUCCAAAUAUUUUGCUUGGUACAACCAAAUUUGUAUGGAUCGAUGAAUAACUCAUGCCUCACCACUCGCAGGAAUAUAUGCGGACAAUGACCAACUGAAAGCUCUUGUUAGGGACAAAAUUGGAAAAGCACCUGCCAAGCCGACCAAGGAAAUGUACCACAUGGUUAUUGAUAGUGAUGUCGGAACGAUUGUGCGCUUGGUCAUAGUCUUCUCAAGCCUUACCAUGAGCAUGGUGCGUAAAAAUUUCGAUGAAGGUCUAGGAGCUGCAAUCAAGAAACUCACCGGCGGAAAGAAAGAAGAGCUGAAAAUGUACUCUCAACUCUGCCCAUAACAUCACUAUCCCCUCCUCUCUCUUGUUUUUUUUUUUUUUUUUUUGGCCCUGUGUUCUCUUUCAUUGUUUCGAAACUUGAAUUUCUCUCCCACAACUUUAAGAGGCUGUCCCUCAAAACUACUUCAGAAUCUAAUUCUAAACCUCUUGCAUCUUCUUCUAAUUGAAGGAUCAUGGGUGAAGCAUCAGAUGAUAUCAAGCUCAUACCUGGUUCGGAAAUUGAGAUCUCCAGGCUUCCAGGUUACAUCCUACAAACAAAAGGUAAGAACUACAAACCGUUGCAGUUUUCCAGCUUCAUAUACUGCUCAUCCAAGAACUAAUUUGGCUGAAAACUUCAUUUUGGUGAAUGCAGUGAUGGGCGAGGUUGUCAGCAACGUUCAAAGUGAGCUCCUCUGCAGGGCUUACAUGUACCUGUACCUGGGAGAUGAUCCUUUUGACAAAGAAGCCAAGGACAAGUUUGGAAGCUCGUUGCUCCAUCUCUUCUAAAGAUGACUUUCAGCACUUUCAAGGUUCUUGAGCAAUAAAACCUGUUCCUUUCUAGUGUCUGAAUAAAUUUACAAAUAAGAGGCAGCGCGAGAAAGAUGAUGGUUUAUUUUACUGUUUAAGAGCUGCUUUGUAUCAAUUAUAACUCAAAAGCAGCCAUUUCUUUCUUUACCUUCCCCCUGAAUGGAGUCAUAAAUGUGCAUGAUUAAUUGUAUGCACAUUUUAAGAAGCGCUUACAUAAACAGUUAUGCACAUCAGUAAUCCAUUAAAAUAGUAUAAAAGUAGCAAAGAGACAUUCCUGGCAAAUAGACAGGACGAGCAUGUUCGGUUGAUCCAGUUACAUACAACAGCAACGUACCAUUCCUCCCAAUUAUAAAAUUCAUGAUGAGGAAGGCGUUGAACCACCUGUGACUGGAAUUGUAUUUUCAGUCUAUGACAAGCAGCACUCUGCUUGAUGUGACUCCUUCACUCUAUGGAUCCGACAAAAGAAACAGUUGUUUGCAAUCAAGCAAAGCCAACGCAUAUGGCAUAUAAAAAAUCAGUACAUGUCCUAGGCGAACCUCAGGAGAAAUCAUGGAUAUAAUCAGCUGAAACCAUGUAAGACUUUUCGAGGAUCAAGCUGUCCACUGCAAUAACUAGAGGACACAGCUGACAGCUCUUGACGUCCCUUCCAUUGUUCCAAGGGCUUCAAGGUAACAGGAGUUUCUAUAGCAGCAGAAUCUACACACAACAUAAUUUUGAAAUCCUCAUCGCCCAUAUCUGGUAGAGCCUUCGCUUUUUUGUCCCAAGGGUUCCAAACAGCUGCAGCCAACCAGCAACAUUAUAAGCUAAUUUCUCUGAAACACUUAAAAUCAUACCAAGAUAGGAGAUAAACUCUCCAACAACAAUAUAAACCUGAAUCUCCCAUGCCUUCUUUACGUAGCACAAAAGUUCUCUUCUUCUCAUGGUCAAUUAUGGCAAUUUUUGUAGGCGUGCUAAGAUAAACGCGGUCAAUCUGUGAUGAAGGCACAACCUAAGCUUGUAAUGGAAUGAUAAUCUGAGAGCAGGCAUUAUUUAGAUAUACAAGUAUCUAGAGCUAUAUACCUAUACCAAGUAUUAAUUUUCAGAUCCAACUAAGUUUGUAUCUAAAAACAAAACAUCUAAAACUAAUGUCAAAAGUUGAUCAUGACCAAACUCCUAUCCCUCACCUCAAAAUCAAGGUAUAAUGCCUAGGGCUGCAACUUUGGAACAUCAAACCACUUACCUCACCAUCAAAAGUAAUUGCAUCAGCCUGCUCCGUAUACCUCUGUCUCUGCAUCAAAUUGUCGAAGUAGUCAAGCGUCUCCAAGCCCUCAAUGCGCACUUCACUGCAAAUCAAACUGCAUCAUGCAACCUAUCUGAAAACGAUAGUAAUGUUUCUUGCAAACUUAGCUACCAUGCAGGAAAAUCAAGAGAUCAUUCAUUAAAACAUGAGCAAGGAUGACAUGAGUUUCAGAAUUUGAGUCAACUGAUGAAAGAGGACUACAGCAUCGACUGUCAAUAUGCAAAUAAUAAGCAAAAGGAAAAACUACUGAUUUACCAAAGCAAACCUGAUAUCAGACACAGAGAAGUAGUUGCGCAGAGCAAAUGUGAAUGAGAAGGCCUUAUUAUCAGUAUUUCUCACACGAGGGAUCAGAGUGAGUUUUCCAGCACUGAGAGAAAUCCGCAGCCGCAACUCAAAUCUACAAAAGUAAAGAGUUCAAACAACAGACAAAAAUUCUUGCCACUACAAUAACAACAUGAAAACACUCCGUCUUCCACAUCUUACCUGUGGGGCCAAGCUUUUAGGUCAUCUUCUGUACAUCUCAGAAUGAGAUCCACCGUUGACUGAUUAUUAGCUGGAGACAGAGGCGAAGGAGAGGGGUCCAGUGACCAUAAUCUGUUCCUUGCAAAACCAUGACGCUCCAGCGGACCAAAAUUUGCAAACUACAAGAUCCAUUUUAAGAAUUAAGCAGGCAGAAGCCCAAGGGGCACUUGAGCUAAGAUGCCGUGAAAACUUCAUUAGCUUCUAACCUGAGGGAAGUAGAUGGGUAUUCCACCCCUAACGGCUUUAGAUGGUUUCCAAAGAGCCUAAAGAAUAGAGGGGAUCCAUUUCAAUAUAAUAGGCAAAAAAUACUCCAAAAUUGCCUGUCUUUGGAAGCAAAUAAGUAGGGCAAUUAGAGGUUCCACAAAAUUAUUUUCUUCCAACAGAGGCAGAUUAUAUUGUAUGUGACAGGUUUAAUGUCACACUCAGGAGGAUCAUUUGUGUUCAAAGAAACCCACAAGGAAAAUCACAUUCUAGCUACAGAGAUGCAUGCCGAACAGUGCUUUAAUGGUUAGUAAAGAUGUGCUAUAGCUGUUUGGCAUGAGAACUUGACCUUUUUGGUUACGAAUAGAAGUUCUUCCCUUCUUUCAUUCUUCCAUGACACAACCUGCCCACCAUAGAGAAGCACCUGAAACAAAACACAUAUACGUUAAAUUAGGUGAUAGAAACUGCAAAAACCACGAAUUUAUUUCCAUGAAAACGGGUCUCCUAACCUAACACUCAGCAGUACAACUAAAUAAGGAGGUCUUACGUGCAUGUCAUGUCAGUCAAUGCAUAUACCCUGAGAAAAUAUGUUUGGUGAGUGCUGAAAUAGGGGAUAGGGUAACUUUGUAAAUGCUGAAACAGGAGACGCGGUUAAGUGGAAUUGAGUAUUUGUGAGGGAGUUACACCUAGAGAAGGAGAGUCAAGCUCUCGAGCUCCCAGAUUACGCUAGAAGAUAUCAGAGCAACCACAAACAGCUUCGGAUGCCGAACUAAUGCAAACACAAAAGAGUUUUCGCGGUUUUAGAUACUCCAGUGCCGACAACGGACCAAUUUUUUCCUAGAGUAAAAUUUUAUCGUGGUUCGAAAUCCAACUAGAACACCGGGCCACAAUUUUCAUCGUAAUCCCUUGAUUCCUAAAAUGAGGAGGAUAUUAAAAGGAGUAAAAGAGGUUUUUUGUGAAGGGGGCGGGGAGGAAGUAAAAGAAUGAGGCAAAGGACGGAAACCUCGGCAGUGGAUCCGGUAGGUUCAGACAGUAUAACUCGGGGUGAUCCAUCGGCAUCGUUAAUCAUGUUGACCGGCAUCGUUUCGGAAUGGAAUUUAGCUCUGAAAUUUUACUCAGAAACUUUCCUCCGGAGUCCCUCCCAGCCAGCCAGCUGCUACACCGCACGAGAAAUGAAUUUGAUAACAAACAGAAAUAACCAGGUACCAACAACACAAAGCAUGUAUUAGUAGAAAUAUGAAAGAUUCAAAACCUCAUAGAAUUCAAUUCAUGCCAGAAACAAAACCCGACUCACAUAAUUGAGACCUUGUGCCAACAACAUAGGGAAUUAUCAAUAGAUAAAUUCAUAGAUACGGACUGAUUAAAAUAAAUGAAAAUGAGCUUACAUUUUGGUCGAUAGUUUCAAUUUUUAAAACACCCAAAGAAACAAAAAUUACUUAUGUCGGGAAUCGGCCGCGAAUUAUAGGAAGAAAUUAGGACACCAGGAGAGUAAAUAGUAGCGUACGACCGUCGUUUUUUUUUUUUGUGUGGUGUACAGUAACACUAGUAAUUUGUAAAUUAUUCAUUUAUUAGUAUUCCUUUUGUUUCACUUUAAUAGUUUCAUUUUUUAUCUGUCUUGAAUUAUAUAGUUCAUUUUAACUUGUAAUUUUUUUAGGAUAAAAACAAAAAAAUCCUCUAUGGUAUAUCUAAUAUAAAAAAAAGUCUUCAAUGAUUUCAAAACAUACAAAACGACAUCUCGUGUUUUGAACUAAAUUGUAAACUAACAGAAUUCGCUAAACUUAACGGAAUCCGUUAAACUUAAUGGUAAAUUUAACGGAAUCCGGUAAAUUUAACCGUUGAGACCAUCAUUUUCGUUAAUUUUAACAAAUUCUGUUAGUUUACAAUUUAGUUUAAAACAUGAAGUGUCGUUUUGUAUGUUUUGAAACCACGGAAGGCUCUUUUGUGUUAUUAGGUAUACUACAUGAGAUUUUUUUGUUUUUAAUCCUUUUUUUUAAAUGCCGCUCUUAUUUAAUGUAUGUCAUUAUUGAGUAUAGUCCAACUUAUUUAAUGUAAAGUUAAUUAGUCUUACUAAUAUAAGGAUAUUUCAGGAAGAGAGUAUGUUAAAUUUGCUCUUCUAACAAACUUGACUAACAUUUUUCAAAUUGUAUGAAAAGAAAAAAAAAUUAAACCUAUCAAAGUGAGAUGAAAGAAAUAAUGCAUUUGUUUGAAAAUGGGAAAUUUGGAGAAUAAUAGGAAUUUGGGGGAUGGUGACAUAUUACUGGCUUGCGAUGCAGCUGUAGUUCAGUGGUAGUCCGUAGUAGAGUGUUAGUGCUGGUGUAGGCGUAGAGUGGCGUAUUGCGGUGGUGGGUUGGCGUUUCUUUCUUCUUAGAGGUAGCACUUGGUCCAAAGCUAUUUGGAACCUUGCCAUCCAAAGCUAUUUGGUGGGAUGCCUUUGGUCAACCGUGCCAUCCAUCAGAACAACCGACUACGUGUUUCGAUAACAGAUUAUUUAGAAUAAUAUUAUAAUAUUUUUUUGAUUUGAUAUAUACAAAAUAUAAAUAUAAUUAAAAUAUAAACAAAUAAAUUUUUCUAAAUAAUCAAACAAUCCGACACGUGCUACUACUUUUGUACAGUAAACCAAAAAAAAAAAAAAGGAAGUGUAAAAUUUUGCCCCAGAUAAAAAGCGUAUACAAUUUGAAUAAUAAAUGGAUAAUUUUUGAAGUUCUUAUAAUGGGCUGGUGGUCUCAAAGUUGUGUCCAAAAUUUUUUUUUAUCCUCACAUUUCACUACUUAAAAAAAUGCAAGGUUAAAAACCCAAAAAAAAAAAAAAAAGAUUUUGGGCACGACUCCUUUUUUUUUUUUUUUUGAUCAACAGAUAGCUUUUUUAUUGUACUCUUAUUUCUACUCUAUACCAAAGGGAAAGGAGUAGGUCCAAAUGAGCCAAUGAAGAUUUCGAAAAGAACUAAAAUAUCACCGGAUCAAACAUGUAUUUUUACAACUGCUCAGUAAAAUUUUCAGAAAAUCUCGAAGACGAAUGCAAAUUAAGAAAUCAAAUCACUUCACCUGCACCAAAAAUAGCCUUGUGGUUGGUUGAUUUUGGGCAUGACUUUACAUUUCACUAUUUUAUCUACCAAAAAGAAAAAAAAAACCCUUACAUUUCACUACUAUUUGGAUCGGUUCAUUCAAAAAUUAAUUACGCGUGUAGAAAGGCCCGGGGAGGGGGCGGCUCGAGUGAUGUCGGAGGCUGGCAAACCAAACAAGUGCACGCAUUCUGAAAUGUCUGCGCGUUAGCAUUCUAUGAGAACUUGGCAAACACUGCUCCGCCUCUUUCAAUCAUGUAAAGAUGGCAAAUCGCUAGCCUCAUUGCACUCCAUCGUCCUAAAAACGCGGUCUGAUUUCCGAUGUCUUCUGGGCGGCAAAACUCAACCAUCUUUACCGCCUUUACGUGCCUCUCACCACAGUUCGCAGACUGUUUGACGAAACGCCCCAGCGAACUACGUACACCUGGAACUCCAUGCUCAAUUGCUACUGUGCGGACAAACAAUAUCAGGAAACGCUAUCCCUCUUUUUCCACAUGUUGUCCUUCGAAAAGCCUGACUACUUUACUGUGGCCAUUGCACUAAAGGCAUGUUCCGCCUUGAGAGCUCUUGAUUUUGGAAAAAAGAUUCAUGGCUUCAUAAAGAAGAACGAGUCUAUUGACUCUAACUUAUUCGUUGGAUCUAGGCUUAUUGAGUUCUAUUCAAAAUGUGGAAAUCUCGAUGACGCUUCACAUGUUUUAGGGGACUAUGAUAUCCCUGAUGUUGUUUUGUGGACUACACUGGUUACUGGGUAUCAGCAGAAUGGCGAACCUGACGAGGCAUUGACACUUUUUCUAGAAUGGUUAUGGUGGGAGGUCUUACUCCGGACCCAAUUGUGCUUGUUAGUGUUGUUACCGCAUGUGCUCAAUUGUUGGACUUGAAUGCUGGGAAAAGUGUACAUGGCUUUAUGAUUAGGAAGAAAUUUGGAGGCUUGUCUCUGCUCAAUGCUCUGUUGCAUUUUUAUGCAAAGUCCGGAUCUGUUAAAGCUGGAGCUAAUUUGUUUUCAGUAAUGGAAGAGAAGGAUGUGAUUUCAUGGGGUUCUAUGAUUUCGUGUUAUGCUUAUAAUGGAUAUGCACGUCACGCUUUAGAACUUUUUGAUGAGAUGAUGGUUAGAGGCGUUGAACCUAAUUCAGUUGUUGUCAUUAGCGCUUUGCAAGCUUGUGAAGCUGCUCAUGACGUGGAGCUGGGCAAGAAGUUACAUAAACUUGCUGUGCACCAAGGGUUUGAGUUGGAUGUCAUGGUGGCUACAGCUCUAAUGCGAUAUGUACAUGAGUUGCGCUUCCCCCGAUGAUGCUGUUGAGACUGUUUGGAAGGAUGGUUGAAAAGGAUGCUUUUUCUUGGUCCUGCUAUCUUAUGUGGGUGUGUGCAAAAUGGGCUUGCUGUCAGUCAUGGGACUGUUCAAGACAUGCUUUGUACUCAAAUCCAACCAGAUGCUGUUAUCAUGGUGAAAAUUCUCACAGCUUGUGCAGAAUUAGGAAUUCUUCAACAAGCUUGUUGUCUACAUGGAUACUUGAUCAGAGGUGGCUUUGACAACAGCACUUUUGUUGGGGCUUCGCUCGUCGAAGCAUAUGCAAAAUGCGGUAGCUUGGGUGAUGCUAUCAAGGUUUUUUGAAAGGAUGAAAGAAAAAAGAUGUUGUUAUUUGGAGCUCUAUGUUUGCUGGUUAUGGAUUUCAUGGGCAAGGGAGGGAAUUAUUAGAAUUGUUUUAUGAGAUGAUUAAUAGUUCAACAGUUAGCCCAAACAAUGUGACUUUUCUUUCAAUUUUAUCCGCAUGUAGUCAUGCAGGUCUAGUUGAAGAAGCAACUAAAGUUAUUUAAUUUAACAUGAUGAUCAAUGACUACCAAUUGAUACCUGAAUCGAAGCAUUAUGGGAUAAUGGUUGAUCUGCUUGGCCGGAAUGGAGAUUUGAACCAUGCCAUGGACAUUAUCAACCAAAUGCGCUUACCAGUCCAUCCUGAUGUAUGGGGGGCUUUACUUGGUGCCUCACGGAUUCAUCAGAACAUGGAGAUGGCUGAAGUUGCUGCCAGGAAUGUCUUUCACUUGGACCCCAAUCAUGCUGGUUAUUACAUUCUAUUAUCUCAUAUGUAUGCUGUCGAUGGAAAGUGGGACAAUGCAGCUAGAGUUCGAACUUUUGUGAAGGAAAAACAAUUCAAGAAGGUAUCAGGUCAAAGUAUUAUUGAACUCAGGGGACGAGACCUGCAGUUUUGUAGCUAAUGACAGAUAUCACCCAACAUUCUGAACAGAUUUAUGAUGGCGGUGUCAGUGAUACAUACUAAAAUGAGAGAAGAGGGUUACAAUCCGGACUUGGAUUUUCUGCAGCAUGAUAAGGAGGAUGGUUUCAUGUCCUGAAACACGGCCAUUGCUAGGUGAUAUGUACUCUGCAUUGGCCUGGAAGAAGGGCCGAGAUAUGAACUUGUGCUAACAACUUUUGAGUUUAAAUAGAUGAACUUCUGGAAAGCCUAUUUUCAAAGUGUAUGACCUUUCCUUGGAAGCUGAAAAUUCUUUCAGAAGCAUCCACCAGAUGAUGCCGACUGAUUGGGCGCUGGUGGCUGAAGGUAUGGUCCUUCUUACUGGUUCUAUGGCGGUCACUCCAACCUGAUAUUACUGACGUUGACAGGUUAUAUGAUGGAAUGAUAUGGUUGUGCCUAAAACCUCAGGAAGUUUCGUAAACCAUGCCUUGUUAUACUGGAGGGUGGCAUGGUCUGGUUCAAGGUAGUAGCAAUGCAAGUGAUAUAUGCCUUUGCUAUUUUUCUUAGAGCAGUUUGCUCGACAGCUCUGCAUUGAAAAGCAGAUAUUCACUUCUUUUAAGCUGCUUCAUCUGCAGGCCCUCUUAUAACUGAAGAAAUGCCAACCUAUUUGCUUGGAGGGACGUGGAUUCCAUGUUUUGGCCUCUGCUGCGGCCAAGGUACGAUGCUUCUCAUCUCUUCCUUUUUUUUUUUUUUUAACCCCUCCAACCCUGGAAUGAGGAUGUCUGGCGUGGUUGGACGCUGGAGAGGCAUUGCUAAGCUUUGUAUAUCUGCUCCUUAUGCUCGUCUCCUAUGAUGGUUUCAUAUCAAUUCAGCUCGCUUAGCAAUUUACAUUCAUUCUGUAGAUGUAUUAAAACCAUUUCCAUUGUGGAGGCUAGAGCUUGUUGCAGUAAGUUGAAGCGUAUUUAUUCAGCAAAUACUUGAAUCAUACUUACAGUCGAAAGUGCCCUCACAGAAGCAAUACACAACUAUUCCCUAACUGCACGCGACUUUGGUCGAGGCACAAAUUUGUUCUUCGGAAGAGGCGUGCAAAUAAAGCACCGUACCGUUAGUGGAUUUCUCGGUUUGCAGCAUCAAGAAAAUUCAUCUCACGCUUCCCCUGGAACAAGCACAGCCACGUUAGAAGUGGCUAACAUAAUUUUUUUUUUUGGGGGUAGAAAAGAGUAACGAGUUAAUCUGUGUUGGGUUCGUGCCGGGGUCUCAAAUGCCCAGGUGUUUUGCUUUACAAUGCAAAUAAAUAGCUGAGUGGUGAUUCAGCUGUUUUUUUUUCCUCUUGUAUACAAAUGGUAAAUGAGGCCACAUCGUCUUGAUCAAAUGUAAGAAGCUAAUUGGACUUGAUACAGCACAGCAAGAUGUGAUAUUUUGUCUUUUAGACAUGGGCAUUUAAUUUGUUCCAAAAAAAAAAAGGACGUAGGCAUUUAUUCGAUGCGCAUCGGGAAAGAAAUCAAAACACUGCUGAUAUCAACAACAUUUGCAAUUUGGGUGCGGAGUUUGUUUAUGAUGGGGCCACUAUUUAGUCGAUAAAUAUGCAAACCUUUUAAUUGCAGUUUUCUGUUGCAAUGUAGUCUUUUUUUUUUUCGGGUAUAUUCAUCAUUCUUUGGCCAAGUUCUCUGUAUGCCACAGUGCGGACGUUUUUAUCACGUAGGCCGGCAGACCAGGAGGAGGACUGCUUUUUGGUCAAGGAAUCGAGAAAAGAUUGAGCAGAGAAACAUUUCCCAAUCAGAUUUGAGAUUUCUAAUACUCCUAACCAAGGCAUGAGCGGCAUCUUCUGUUUUAGAAACUGUGGCCGCCGCCAAAGCGAAGCUGAGAUACUCCUAUUGUAACUUUGCAGGAACAAAGGCUGCCGUCAUUUACUAUAUGUUUUCCUAAGCAAUUCGGGCCUCCACAACACAAGCACAGAACUUUUUCUUUUUCAUGCUUCAUUAGACGUCAUCUCUGGAUUUUGGAAACCUAGCAUAAGCCAUGUUCAUCCGGAAAGAGACAAUUCCAAUUUCCAGUGAGCUGAAUAUUUUAUUGUGCUUAAAAUACUUUUCUGUUUGGUCAAUCAUCCCAUAUUUCCUCUUUUAUCUUUUGAACAUGGCCAUCGAUCAUCUCAAGUCUAAAAUCCUAUCCGUUGGUAUUGAAAACUGCAAAAAAUCUUAGAACUCAUCAUAAUUUUGAGAAUAUAUUAUAUAAGACCAUUUCUCGGUAAGAAUAUUUACAAGAGGAUCCCCCCCAUUUAUACGAGUUAAUACUGGCGCUACUACCUACUUUAAAAGGCUGUGAUAGUGCUUGCUUCUAUAAAAGGAAAGUAAAAGACGUACUUCCAAGGAAUUCCAACUCAGGAAUGGACAUAAAGCUGAGUAGGGAAUAGCAAGUUUGCUUCUAAUCCAAACAAUGAAAAAAGGCUCCCAAAAGCCAGACCUUACACCACCUUGAAGCAAUCAAAUACACACACUAAACUAAAUUUCUAUAUUUUCAUUUUCACAUAAAAGAGAGUUGAGAAGUGACUGAGGGGGAUAGAGGGCUUCCAUCCAUGGAAGACGUGAUAGUGGAAGCCCUUCUAUCUAAUGAACGGGAAGCUCAGAUUUUAGCUGCCAGAGAACUCGGUAAACUUGCAACCAAACUAAGACAGAAGUUAGCAGAAAGAGGGAUCAUUUCUCGGCUCGUUACGAUGCUUCGUACGCAAGAUUAUGAAGCCACUGAAGCGGCACUCUGUGCUCUGCUUUGUCUAGCUUUUCACAGUGAAAGGUAUUGUUUGCAUCAGUUAAAAUUUGCAGUCUUUGAAAUUGCAUCCGACGGCAUUGGCUGUAGAAUUGUUCCCCAUCUAAUUUUACUGUGAUUUUGCAGAAACAAGAUCCGAAUUGCAAAUUCUGGUGCCAUACCAGUAUUGCUGGAGAUCAUUCAACGCCCAAAAGAGUCAUUGAUUGACCUUGCAGCAGCAGCCCUCUUGGUUCUUUCUUCUUGCUCCGCUAACAAGCUAGCAAUCGCGGCAUCUGGGGCUAUCCCGAUCCUGGUUGGAUCCCUGAAUUCCCAAUUGGCAGAAGAACGCGGUUUCCAGAAUCUAAGCGUGCAGGCUAAGCUCGACAUCAUAUCCACAUUUCACAAUCUCUCCACCUAUCCUCCGAUAAUCCCAUCUAUUGUUUCUUCUGGUAUGGUAAAAGCCAUGCUUCAACUAAUGUAUGAGUUCGGAAAACAAUCAAAGAUAAUUGAGAAAGCGAUGGCAUUACUGGAGAAGAUGGUUUCCUCGUCAGAGAUUGCACUGGAGGAGGUUGCUGAGACUGCUCCUCUUGUAAUCCACUUUCUAGUGGAGGCCGUCGAAGAAGGUACACCACUAUGCAAAGAGCACGCUGCAGCUACGUUACUGGUCAUGUGCCAAAGUUGUAGGGACAGAUACAGAGGAAUGAUUUUGAGGGAAGGCGCUAUGCCAGGGCUGCUACAAUUGAGUGUUGAUGGGACAUCGAAGGCCAGGGAAAAGGCCAAAGCUCUGCUGCAACUUCUUAGAGAUUUCUCAGAAUGUCGUACGCGAGAGGAACGAUCAAAGAAUCGGCUCUUGGAACAUGUUAUGCAACAGAUUGAUAAAGGAGACACAACUGGGACGGGUCUGAGACUUGUGGAGGAAAUGAUUGCAAGACUUAGGACGUAGUAAUUUUUAAUCUUUUCCCACCUUCUGCGUGUGCCACUGUUAUUGUAGGUAAUCACGUUUUCUAUUGCCUCCCGUAUUUUUUUCCCCCCACUUUGAUUUAGACCUCUCUGACAAUGGACUAUCUAUGAACACCACACACUCCAUUACUUAAUUGCUACUUUUCUCUCAGGAUUUAAAAAAAAAAAAAAAAAAUUCAUGGAGGAUCCUCUGGGUUUUUCAUUUAAUAUUGAUGUUUUAAAAUGGAUGCUGUAAUCCUUUUUACGAAAAUUUGGAAGUGGAAUUAGUUUGAUUUCAGGUCAAAGGUGUAGGAUGAUUUCAAUAAGAAGUCAAAGGGUGAUCUUAAUAAGGAGCCAAUACCCUAGAAAUCAUCGAUUUAUUAACUUUUAUGCUACAUUUCUUUAUUCGUGCAGCAUUUUUGCUGUCACCCGAAGUUAUCCUUCCCAGUGCUGGGUUUCCCCAGUCAGCAGGAUAACUUAGAAAGGGUAAUAAUGUUGCAACAGGAGAGGAAGGGAUAAUAAUAUUCCUCUCCUCAGGAAUAUUUGAAACGAAUUGGCUCCAUAGAGAUAAAAUUGGAGGAAAAAUAAAUGUCGCAAUAGGAGAGAAACUUAGAAAGGGUCGAGCGGUACAAAGCAGCUGAAGUAGUAACUAAGCACCAAAGAACGUCUAUAAAACGCAAGCAACAGCGAGAACAGGUAAUAAUCUUUUAUCUUCAUCAUAUGCUACUCUCUACAUUUAUCUUCACGUAGAGAUGAAUGUGUAACUAGUAUCUUCUUAAACAAGUACGUGCUUCUCACGAUUAUCUUAUUUAGUGCAACUUAACCUCUCCAGAACAUACCAAGGCAUACGACCUCAAAAUUUAGAUGCAAAACAUGUAGCUAGAAUGCCCAAGGCAACACUUCACCUUGACCUUUUGUAAAAAGCAAAUGCCACAGCAACGGUAGUCACUGCUCCAAGGACAGCAACAGUUGUCAGGACAUCACGCUGCUCCCAUCUUCCAAUCCAGUUUGAGAGCUUUCCUGUUCCCUUUUGUACCUCUUUCUCCUGAAAAUUCACAUCUCUGCAACAUGAGACUCCAUUAGCACCUUGGCAACAGCUUGAACUACUUUCAUUCUUUUCCUCGCUUCUGAUUUCUUGUGGCUUCUCUGCAUAAUUGUUAAGACUUGUACCAUUUAAAAGCUUCUGCUGAUGCACGUUCUCAGCUUCUUCAGUAACUCCCAUUUGGCCUCUGAAGUAGACAACAGAAACAUCACACAAGGGCAUAAAUUACAUGAUCAAAUUUUGAUGUUUUAACAGUGUCUGCAUGUCAAAAAGUUUCUUUUGCUUAGAUGGCAAUAACUUCAAUAGUAAUAUAUACGUGGCUACACAUGAAUGUUCUACUCCUACAUUCUCUUUCAUACUUCUAAAGUAUAAAGCUACAUCUUCUGAAAAGCAUACUGUAUAGCAAGAUAUCAAUAUUUUGGGCAAGUAUUAUGUAGAUAAGUAUCCAAGAUUCAUGUCAAGAAAAGAAACAUUCCAUCCAAAGGAUGUUAUAUGUUGCACUCAAAAAUAAAAUGUUUUUAAAACUCAAAUGCUCGGUUGUCAACAUCCUUAAAUGGUUACCUCAUGAUUGCAGCAUUCCAACUUAGAUUGGGAAAAGAAAAAAGAAAAAGAAAAAGAAAGAAAGAAAGAAGAAGAUAAAUUUGUGUUCAGCUUUUGACACAGAUUUUGUGUUGGGAGAUGAACAAUCCCGUGCAGUAUAGUUCAAUAAAACUGCCAAAUAAUGUCCCAUCUGAUGGUGGAAAAUGAGAACCUGUCUCCUACUAAAAGGUAUGCGGACAAAUUUGAAUUCUGACCCAGGUAAGAUUAAAAGAUUAGGGAAGUAAUCUGACCAGAGUACAAGAAAAUCAAAAAAUAUAUUGAUGAAGACAUUCUCAGAAAUAUAGACAGAGCCCAAAAAGUAAAAAAGUAAAACAAAUGGGACCAUACGGUGGUACAUGCAAAAACAAGUCCAACAACAAAUCUUCUGGAGUGAGGUCAGGAAAAAAUUUAAAAAGAGCAGAAAUGAAGACAAACCUCCAAAUUCGCUCAAUGAUUUCUCCCUUCCCAAUAUGCUGAUCAAGCAGUUCAGGCACAUCAUUAGGCGUAACAUAUCCAUACCUGCAUGAUCAGAAAAAGAAUUCAUCACAAAAAAAAAAAUCUGCAACAGACCAAAGAUCACUGAUCUGAUGAUUUGGUUCUUCAUGUCUUUGAUAAGCGGUCAAUUUACCACAUCUCUGAUGAGUGCUCAAUACAGAGAGCUUUACAAAAUACAUAUGGGAUAAAGAGCCGGACCAAAUCAGAGCAAAUAGAAACUCCAAAUCCAAAACAAACAAACAAACAAACAAAAUGCACGCACACGCGCACACACACACACACACUUUUUUUAAAAUCAAGUCAUUACCAAUGGCCAUCAAUUUUCGCUUGAGCAUUGGCACUGAAAAUGAUCACAUUGCCAGCAUACUUAUGGCCUCCAAUAUGAGAGCAAGCAGUCACAAACACCUGGCUCUUUAAAGCCCUGGAGUCAAUCUCUUCUUUGAACUUCUCAAUCAGAACAGGUCCACAAACACCACACCUUUUGUCUCGAUUAUUGUGAGCACAAACAAAAACAUAUGAACCAGUCAAAACCUCCUGUUUACCAGCAGCCCAGGAGUUCCCAUUAACAAGCACAUCCUCCACAAACCCAUCCACAUCCGAGUCAAAUCUCUUCAACAAACAAAACAAAUUAACAUACAUGCAUAUAUAUAGAGACACAUAGAGAAUCAUCAACCAUCUAGAAGAACACACUUGUAACACAUGAUGACAACAGUUGUAGUUUUUAUACUCGUGAACUAAAGCUUUAGCAAGUAAAACAACUAUACAAACGAAAUUCACUUGUAGGACAUCAAAGUUACAUGGAUAAAAGCAUAACAUGGAAGAUGCCAGCAAAGUAUGACCUAAAUUCAUAAACCCAAUAGUACUACUCAUAACAAAAUAAAAAUAAAAUAAAUGAAUGAAUGAAUAAAUAAAAUGAAAGUCAGACACUAGAAGUAUUAGUCAAUUAAUUACCUGUACUUGAUCAUAUCAGGGAAAACCAAAACAUCUCCAUCCGAUAAUUGCAAGUCCUCAAGCCCUUCGCAUAUGGUCAAACGAGCCUACCACAACAUAUGAAAAUAAAUUGAGUACAAUAUAUCGAAAAUACAAGAGUAAUCUCCAAAAACUCUGAUACAAAACACAAUCAAUUACUCAAAUUAAUCCAGAAACAUGAAAAUAUAGUAAGCUAAUACAGUUAAAACUGCAUCUCUUCUGCGUAAUUAUGUAAUAUGAAAUCGACAAAGCAGCAGAGAAAUUCGUAAAUUUCGACCAAAAAUGAAAACCUGAAAUUGAGAGUAUAAACCUUGAUUUUGAUAUCAGCCUUGCGAGCUUUAAGAGCAGCUGAGAGAAGCUUGGGGAGAAGAUCGGAAUCGGAGGCUUCAACACGAGAAGGCCAGGAGUCAUGAGAUUUGUAGCAGAGGAAGAGGUGACGUUCGUAGGGGUCAACUGUGCCGGCGAGAUUGCUUUGGUACAUCUCCGACCGCUUAAAACCAAACUUGAGAUCAUCUUCCUCGGGCAAAACAGUAGAAAAGUACUGGGUCGUUUCUCCGGUGGAGGCCAUAGCUGGAGAUCGCUUCAGCGAGAGGAAGGGUUUAGGAGAGACUUUUCCUGGAUGACCGGAGCGCGACCAGAAAAAUGCGACUGGAAAGAGGAC